CUGACCCACCAGACAAUCCAUUGCACAUACUAAGAGUGUCAAAAAAACCACUUUUUUGUCACCUAAAGAUUGCUUCUACAAACCCUCUUGGUCAAUUCUUCAGAAAAAGGAAAAUUCGAACAAAAUGGGGGAAAAAGUUAAAACAUUAUUUUCAAAAACCAAAAAAACGAGGGAAUAUGUAAAGGCCCUUUUUGGUUAUUGGAAAUCAUACCCACGAAACAAGUAACCAAGUGACUGCAGAGCUUGAACAGUACGACCCCUACAGACCCAUCACAGAAAAUGCCCAGCAAAUACCAAAAUGUAGAAAAUCAGGAGCUCAGGGAGCUACAGAGAAGCAAGAAUAACAACCUGGCAGCUCUUGAGCCACUGCCUCAGACACGGCAACAGAACAAAACCCUAGAUUUCAAAUCUAGGGUUUUGACAGGAAAAUGCAGGAGGUGGAAAAGGGGGAAAAAGGAGGGAGGAAAAGACAAAGGGAAGACGGGAAGGGGGGGUUGGGGUGGAAAAAAUGAAUUGAAAAUUUGAGGUUUUGAAUUAAAGUUGUGAGUGUGUGUGUGAGAGUGAGAGAGAGAGAAAGUGUGUGUGUGUGUGUGUGAACUGUGAACUACUAAUUGAGAGAGAGACAGAGAGAGAGAGAUAGAACUUUUUCCUUUUUCUUUAGUCUGAUCUGAUGAGGCCUGAGGGGAGUUGUGGUAUGGUGUGGUGUGGUGUAAGUAUCUCUGACUAUUAGAUAGGAAAGGCCUAAUGCUAUUGGACAGACAUUGUGGAGUACCAACCAGGAUGUCCUCAUCAGAUUGCCCUUGCUUGGGGCACAGAGCCCUCCAGGACCCCCAGUCCCCACAUUCCUCUCCACUCUCCCUCUCUCACUUCUCUCUCUCGUUUCUCUCUUUAAUGACCCCUUUGGUGUUGGCAUCUUUUGCUGGGUUAGGUUCAACGGAUUGUUUAUCUCAUGUAAACAGUGCUAGGAGACGAAAGAAAAGUAAUACUUUAGUUAUUGGAAUGGGUUAGAAAUUGGUCAUGGGCCGGUCUCAAAUGGGAGACAGAUUGUUAUAGAAUGUGAGUUUAUUUCUUUUUCCGAGCCACUAAUACAAGAUCGUCAUGAUUUUUUCAAACUACUACUACGAGAUCGUAUGUGGAGAGUUUAAAAUAUAGUAUUGUCGUAUAGAUUUAAUGGCAUUGUUUAAGUGAUUUAAGACGUCACAAUGACAAUAAAUCUAUUAAGUAUAAAUGUAGGGAAAAGAUGUUUUCCUUCAAUGUUAUUGGCGUAACAAUAUCGAGACAAAUGGAGCAAUAGCAAAGUCAUAUGGAUUAUAAACAAAUUAAUUAGUAAUUAGCGUGGUCAAUAAAGUGUUCAUUGUUAAGUUACUGGUCUAAAACUAAAAUAUAAGAACAUGUUUUCAAACUUGACUAUACAAGUGGGAGUAAAAGUCAUGACCCACAUGACACCCACCUUUGUUUUGGUAUUUUAUACCCGAAUUUACACUCUCUUGUCUAAUUGAAUCUAGCAGUCCAAAUAAAGGUGAAAAUGAUAUUAUGUUAAAUUACACCCAUGAUUUAAGUGAUUCGAAACUUUUUUUGGUCCAAAUGAAGAUGAUGGAAUGGACCCAAUCAAGGCUAGCCAAUGUAAACUAUCACCAAUUAGGAAGAUUUGAGUUGAUUGAUGUGAUCACGAGACAAGGUAUAUGGACUUAACUGAAACCUGUAAAUACAAGCUUCAAGGAAAAGAAAAUGAUCCCCAAUCAAACACACAAACUUAUCAUUUUAUUCUCCUCAAUUCCUCUCUAGGAGCAGCGCAAUGUAAUCCCUAGUCUAUCGCUUUUCAAUUUCCUUUCAAUACAAGUUUUUAAUGUACUUUAUGUUAUUAAUUAGUUUAUUUUGUGCAAGUUAAAUGCAGUUUUCUUUUUAAUUUUUAAUUUUUUACACACUUUACUUUCCGUCUUGCUUUUGCAAUUUCAUUUAAUUUCAAAGCACUUUUAUUUUUACCCACUCACUCUUCAUUUAAUUUACUUUCUCACAAGUAGAUUAAUUUUAAUUUCAUUUAUUCUAAAUUCUUUUUACUUUUUCGCUCAAUCCUUACCUUCACCAUUUAUCAUUAUUUUGGUUGUUGCUUCAAAGCCUUGUCUUUGAGGUAAAAAACCGUUCAAUCGUUUGAUUAGAAGUCAAAUCUAAGGUGCAAACGCAAUUCACGCUCACAUUUUUUCUACAUCGGUCAAUUUAGUUCACAUGGUGACACACACUCACGCAUCAAAACAAAGAAAGACUAAAUCCUAAAAAUAAAAAGGGAAAAAGUUUUGGCAUGCCCAGUGGCAUACUGUCUAUGAGCAACCAAUAUGGAUUGUAAUAUUCAUAUCGGUGGAUAAACUACGGUGAGUAUGGGUUUAGUAGCCAAUACAUACGAAAUGAACAAUAUGGCUUUAGUGGCCAAAAUGACUAAGGCAACCAAUAUGCCUCUGUUUAGGCCGAAAAAUAUUGGUUUGGGCCGAGCACUAAGUUGUUCUCGACCCAGAGACCGUACUUAGGAGUCAUUGGGGGUCAUCCAGUUUAUGGGCCACAUAGCCAAGGCCGGCCGUGUCCUAUUAGGAAUCCAUGGGUAGUUGAAUCCUGAUACGAGAUGGAGUUUCGAUUAGAUAAGGAUGUUGGAGUUUGGGAUUGAAUCCGGCUUGAUAACAAGUUGAGUUCAAAGUCCUAGUAGGAGUAGGAGUAGAACUGGUUAAGAUAAGGGGGGAUCGAGGAAAGGAGUCCUACUCCGAGAAUGGUUGUGAUUCGAUUGGAAGCAGGAUAGCUACUAUAAAUAAGAGGAGGAGGACAUCAUUCAAGCCCCCUCCAAUUCAACACACAAACUGCCAUGCGCAAACCCUUGCUUUCGCGAAACCUCUCAACAACCUUGAGAUUUUUAUUUUCUCUUUUCGCCGACACAUCUUCAGUUUGGAUAAACAGCACUGUGAAGGCAACCGGUGAACAUGUUCAGUUUGGAUAAACAACACUAUUACCGUAGAAUCAGCCGACCGCAGAGCACCUUCAGUUUGGAUAAACAGCACUAAGUCGAGGCUGACUGGUUAUCUAUCCAAGUCUUGGUCGAGAAGGAUUUUCGAAUCCUUAUUGGCAGAGGUCAUCUCAUCAGCCUUCUUGGUGAAGUGAGGUGUUACUGGGGCUCGGCACAUUGAACGCCGAGUUGUUUUAUGAUUGGAUACUCACAAGUAGGCUUUAGAGUUUGGCAUUCCGACGGUCGAACCACAUUUUCCAUCAAGACAUAUAUCUGUUUUGAGUAUUUGUGCCCCUAUACUCUGGUGUUGAUUCAGUGUGCUUAUUAUACUCGUACGAAUAUAAUCACUGUGACCGAAUCCGGCGCCAACGAUUUGUGAACUUCACAGAACUAGUAGCUUUGUCUUCAGACUCUAGAACCUGAAUGCCGAGACGUGUUCCUUCCUUGGCCGCAGUCGCAAGAUCAAGAAGUCAGUCGCGUGCUCAAUGCAACAUCAACAUAUUUUACUCCUCGGCCGAGCUUGGCCGAAGAGUUGGUAAACCCGCACAUAACCGAAUGACGUAGUUAGCUCAUUAGUUACUCGGUCUACGCGCCACGUAGGCUUGGUAGUUUUUAAGUUCAACAGCCUCUAAUGACAUUAUUGUAACACGAUGUUUGGAUAAGGCAAUUUAAGAUUACUAAAGAAUUUUACACUGGCAUAAAUUGAAAUGAAGAAAUUUUAUUUUCUAGAAUUUGUGAACUUUCUUAUUUGGUUAACCUAAAAUAACAACAGAAUUUUUUAUUUUUAGACUCUCACUCAUGGAAAUUCAGAAAUAACACAUAUUUACAUGAAACUUGAGCUUGUGAAUUUUCUUGUUCAGUUGUAAUAGUGGUCAAUAUGACCAAAAUAAUUCAACCAACAUAACUAAUGGUUCGGAUUAUGAAUUUGGCCAAACAAAUUACUCAAACUAGGGGUGAUAUUCUAAGGUCCUCUUUUUUGAGGACCUGUGAAGGCCUCUUUUAUAUAGGCAUAGGAUUUAAUUUAAACGGAUGAGUUUAUAUAAUCCUAUUACACCUAAACAAAAUCAAAACACGCUAAAAAAAAAAAAAAUGGGUUCAUGCUCAAAUUUUUUACGGCUGCAGGUUGAAGGAGAGCAGCGCGAAUUCCGAUUUCACAGUGUCCUCGGAAAAUUAAAAUUCCCUUUGAAGCUACGAAAAUGUAUUUCCUUUGUAGUUGUAUUGAUUUCAAUUUCUCCUAAUUUUCCCGUCCCCAUUUUUGAAAAAAGUAGAAUCACGUUGAUGUUUAUCGUAGAAUGGAAUUAAUUGAGUACCAUUCUUCUUUUAAUUAGGUCUCAUAGUAACCCAGAAAUGCUUUCCUAAUUGAGCACCAUUCUAUUUUAUAUUUCUUUGUGGUGGUGGUUCAACCUCAACCCCAUUCUUCUUUUUUUUUUUUUUUGCUUCACUUUUAAUUUUAAUUGCAGAUGGUUGUAUGAUGGAGGAACAAUCUUACCAGGGACGAUCUUGAACCGGUAUCAACGAUCUUCAAGGGUGGGAGCAGAGCGGUAGAGAGGGAGGGUCGGGACGACGUCCUUGACGAAAUAUUUCCUUUGAGAUCGAACGGGAUACAUUUUUGCUCAUCUCUCUCGGGAAACAGGAAUGAAGGAUGAGUUUGAACCCUAUUUCUAUUUGUUAGCAUGUUUUGAUUUUAUUUAGGUGUAACAGGAUUAUAUAAACUCAUCAGUUUUUCUACCAUUAGAUUAAUUUUAUGGCUCAGAUAAAAGAGUUCCUCACAGGUCCUAGAAAAAGAGGACCUUAAGAGAGCAUCUGUUACUCAAACAUGCAACGAAGACUGACUAACAGCCUUGAACAACUCCAUCUCCUUCACAAAGGGAAAAGGAAAGGGAGAGAGGUGGCCCGAGAGUAAAUUGACAUAAAGCAUAUGGAGGAGGAGUCGGCCUUUGAAUUUGUUACUCAAGUCGACAACGUUAAUGAAACCCGCACUUCCAUUGAUUGAGGAAAAUGCAAAUACCAUACAAGAUGAAAGUCAACAAAUAGCCUAGUUCGACGACCAAAAUACUGACGAAAUGUCAAUUUUUAAAACCACUACCAUAUAUCAAAGUUGGUCGAUCAACCAGACUUGGGGGGCAUGAAAAAAGGGCCAAAAUAAUGACCAAAAGUUAUAUGGGUUUAGGGUUUGGCUGAGAGAAGAGUGAGGCUGAAUUAUUCGAUAGGGAGAUGCACCACAGGUGGCCAAAGGAUUACAAGCUUUGGUUGGUUUAGUUUUCAAUACAAUUUGAGUGGUCUUAAUGCAGAGUUUUGGUCCGCUUAUUGAAGUGGCAUGAUUCUUUUGCUUAUUGAUGGUUGAUCGCUAUCUAAUCUGAUAAUUCAAUGCUAAAAAAAAAAAAAAUUGAAAUGUUAUAUGAAUUUAUACUCUUUUUUUCAAUUUGUCAUAUAAAGUAAAUUUUAACUCAUUCAUUAUAUUAAUUUUUUGAAAUCAUCAAUUUGUCAUCUCCUAAAUCUCUUAAGUUUUUCAUUUAAAAUAAGUCAUGUGCUUCUUGUUUUUAUAUUUUUAUAUUUAUAGUUAUACGAAGAUAUAUUUACACUAGGGUAGGGUAUAUUGUUUUUGGACUUGUGGGAUCCUUUUCAUAAGUUCUCUAGUUCUAUUCGGUAAGCACAAAAAAAAUUUGGCUGGUAAAAAAAAAUUAAUGAAAAUUGUUGGCUAUAGUGAUAGGAAUUUUAGUACAUGUGCAAAACAGAUUAAAAUCACACAAAAUACUUGUAAGAGAACAUGUAGUUGUAAUAUAAACGGCUAUAAUAAAGUCGUUCUCCACAAGAAUAUUUAAAAAAAUUAUAUUUAAUCUAAAUCUUAAUUCAUUACUUAAAACAAAGUUUUAGAAAAUAUGUUGAUUUUAUGACCUAGAUUAACAAAACUGAUUUUAAUUAAAAAGAUUAGAAAAAUCUGCAAUAUUAAAGAAAGGGAAAGAAAAUAAUUUUUGAAAAUUAAGUUGUAAAAGCACUAGAGUUCCACCGUCACCUUAACAAUCGUAUGUAAUUUAUCAAUUAUCUAUGAAUUAGACAUGCAACUUUGAAGGUUAGGUUUUCCUAAUGUAUAUUCUACUUUGACCUCCAACCUAGAACGUAUAUCAAACAUGCAAUUCGGAUCACAUUUAAACAAAAAAGACUUAUAAAGCUUUAUUAAAACUCUUUGAAAAAUCAUGCAACCAUUAAGACGUGGUGUUCGCUCUAAGUGAACUUACAAUUAUUAACCACAAGAAGUCAUAACCAAUUUCAAGAAACCUUCCGACAAAAUUGCAUUAAAUUACUUUUCUAAAGAUCCUAAUGGUAGCUAAGCAUUAAGAUGAUAGUUUAAAUAUAGUGAUUAAUAAUUCAAAGUACACAUGCAUAAUAUCAUAAGCAAUUAAAUAAAAACUACAUAUUCAUGCUAAUUUUCAUGGCCUCGCUGUCACAUCCCGGCCUGGGCCCCAUUGCAUGCCAGGCUCGACUCCGUCAUAGCACGAUAUUGUCCUUUUUGGGCCCCAACCAUGCCUUCACGGUUUUGUUUCUGGGAACUCACGAGCAACUUCCUAGUGGGUCACCCAUCAUGGGAGUGCUCUCGCGCUACUCGCUUAAAUUCGGAGUUCCGACGGAACCCGAAGCCAGUGAGCUCCCAAAAGGCCUCGUGCUAGGUAGAAUAUACAUUUAAGGAUCACUCUCCUGGGCGAUGUGGGAUGUUACACUCGCCCUAACAAAAGAAAGUUAAUUAUACGUAUUCAUAAUUAAAAUCAAAAGGAAUUUUAUUGAAAUAGAAAAAGAGUUAAAACACCUUGAAAGUAAAAGUCUCAGAAUCUUCAAAAGCUCUAGCCAAAUUACUCUCUCCAAAGUCGUACAAAGAAUACGACUAGGGCUAGCCAAAAGGCCUUAUUUAUGCUACUACAGUUGAAAUCAUUCCUAGAAAAUGUCUUAGAAUAAAACUAGGAAAUAAAAUAAAUAAAGAGAAACUAGGAAACAAUCUCCUAGUCAAACAUGGAGAAUAUGCCAUCAAACUUAUCAGCCACGUUUUUAGCUACAAAAAGCUCCAAAACAGGUUCAAGAUAGCUUAUUUUAAAGACAUUCUGAACAUAUCUCCAUGAGGGUCCGAACCCAAAAGAGACAAUCUUGGACGCCAAAAAACCCAAAUAAGCCCAAAAACGUCACUUUGGCAGCAUUGCACGCUGCUCAUUCAUUUCAUCGCCAUAAAUAAUCCGUUAGGUAGAAAAAUCUGAAACGUUGAGAGACUCAAAAACAUCUUCCAAUUGAAAUCACUAAAAUUCAUCUAUUUGAUCACUUUUUCUGAAGAGGAAGUUGAAAGUCUUACAUUGAAAAUAUAAUUCAAAGUAUCAAAAUUUCACCAAGAUAAUUACCAAAACAUACCAAGAAUAUGGGAAAAUAUAUAAUAUGAAAUCAAACCAUCAUAGAGAUUAUUUGAGCAACACAUGUAUAUAUUAACAAUUAAAAAAAAGUAUGAACUCAAAACAAAUCUAAUUCCAUAAAAAUUUAAGGCCUAGUAGAUGGUGAACCAAGACUCCUUCCGUAAAUGAAAGAAGAAAGUUUGAAUCUUACCCUUGAAGCUCAUCCUUAUUUUUACAAGGCAACCACCCAAGUGGAGGGCCAUCAAGUCCUCUACUUGCUCCUUGAAUCUUUGUUUCUUCCUUACUCCUUUGCUCCUUGAGAAUUUGAUGAAAGGAUUCUUCAAGCAGCAAAGAGAUGACACCUCUAAGUCCACACACCAUGGAUGUGAGGUGAAGACAAGAUGGAUAAACUAGGAGAAGUUUUGAUGCUAAUAAAACUUUUUUCUAGUUGGCUGGCUAAAGAGAGAGAGGGAGAGUUUGUGUGCCUCCAAACUUUCUCUCCAAAGAACCCUAAUGAGUUUUUGCCUAUAAAGUCACUUUUACACACACUCACAAGUGAGUGGCAUAAGUGAAAUUGAGGCCAAUCCUCAUGUAUAGCCAGCUACCCUAGUGUAGGUGGGCUUGUGUCUCAUUUUGUUUAAGUUGUCCUACAAAGUUUAAUGGACCUUAUGGAUCAAAGCCCAUUGGGCCUAGAAAACCCAAAACUAAUUUGAAGCCUAAUACAAACCUUUCUUAUAAUAAAUAACUAAUUAAUUAAUUUUGACCAUACACAAUUAAACUAUUUAAUUGCUUAUAUCCAUCCCAGUUACAUAUUUUUCAUCUCACCCUAAUAUGAUGUAUGAUCCAUUAGGUUCCAAUUAGCGAGGCAGUGAAUGAUUGUAACUCUUACUAAACAAUUGUGAAUUAAAACUUACUUUCAAUCUCCUUAUGACGAAGAUUAAUGAUUACUAAUCUUCAGGGCUUUCACAAACCAUGAGUGACACCUAACAGCAUGCCAUGACUACCCAAGCCAAUAGAAGUGGUUGAAGAACUUAUUCAGUUACAACUACAAUGCAAUACGGUGCUUCUCUAAUUCAAUACUCCUGACCACAUUGUUUAGUUGAUAAACUGUUUGGUGGAGAGUUUAUUUCAUGUCUACUAUCCAAUACGAUACUUCUGUAUAUGAUUCUAGUGAAUAUGAUUUGGAACAUUAUUCCUAAGUCAUAUUCAUAUGCUUUGGCCAAACACUCUCGAAUCAUAUCUUAGAGUAUUUUUCUUCUGCUAUGGAAGGUUAGAGGUCCCUUGUUGUACACUUACAUGUCUCUACGGAUAAAUUAAUGAUCCCAACAAUGCUAGGAACAUGGCCAAGAUGAGGCAUGUACUUUGUUACAUGGUCAAAUGAUGAAAGACAUACCCAAAAGGCAUAUGUGGUGUCUCAAGAAAAAUGACUACUUGUAUUUGUGUGUAUGUAUGUAUAAGUAUAUAUACAUAUAUACAUAUAUAUAUAUAUAUGUUAAUGUAUGUCUAUGUCCAUGUAUAUAUAUAUAUAUAUAUUAUGCAUAUGUAUAUGUACUUUCGUCUUAGGACUGACAUUAUUUUGCUUCACCGGCUAAUUAUUCGAAAUGCCGUCAAAUUUGAGCAUUGGGUGUUGACGCACUCCUUUAGUUAAUUUAUAGAGGUAUUCAUCAAUUUCUUUCCUGAACUUGUGAUUAUUGGCCAAUUUUCCCCCUCAACUUUAAUUUUGGCCAAUUUCCUCCCUCAACUCUCAUAAUUAGUCAAUUCCCCCCCUCAACUUUAAUUUGGCCAAUUUCCCCCCUCAACUCUCAUAAUUAGUCAAUUUGCACCCUACUGUUAAUUUUUUUAAUUUGAUCAUAAUUAAACAAGUGUGUGUAAGAAACUAAAUAAUAUGUAUGUUAAUCAUUUUCCUAUGUCUUUAUCCUAUUACAAAUAGAUUAAAAUUUAGAAUUUUACAAUUUAUCAUAGAUAAUAUUAUUAGUCAUAAUAAAUCAGUAUGGAGUAAUUUUAUUUGAUUUUUUACUAUACAAAAUUGAUAACAAAAAUGAUUGAUGUGUACAUUUUUGUAUGUGAAUACAAUUUUCUUUAUGAAAGUGAAAGCAAAGUUCAAGUAAAUUGCGGAGAAUCGAGCUUUAGUGCAAAAAUGGCUAGUCAAUUCAUAAUUUUCGACUCCUUAUUAAGAAUAACCCAUUUUAUUGAAAUAGGUCUGAUCCAUGAGUUUAGGAUUAUUAUUUCUUCUUCUACAUGCUUUAAACCCGAUUCAUAACUUUUUCUUAUAAUCAACCCAUAUCACAUACUAAUUGUAUUAUGUUUUUGUACAUUUUACCCUAUAUUAUGCAGGUGAGUUUAUGUUAAUUUUAGUACUUUGUUGGAAGUGAUUAGAAAUAUUGAAAGAAAGAAAAAGAAUAGAUGGAAAAUUAAAAAAAAUUAAUAGUAGGGUGCAAAUUGACUAAUUAUGAGAGUUGAGGGGGGAAAUUGGCCAAAUUAAAGUUGAUGAGAGAAAUUGACUAAUUAUGAGAGUUGAGGGGGGGAAAUUGGCCAAUGGUCACAAGUUCAGAGGGGAAUUGAUGAAUACCUCUAAUUUAUAAACUAACAUGACAAGUUUUUCAAUCCGCCACACCGCGUGGGCAAAAUUUUUUGUGAAAAUCGAACAUGGAGGUACUUGAGAAACAGUUUCAAAACCGCAAAUGUUUUGCACUCGAAAAGGCAUCUACGCAACUUAAGACACAAGGAUGAAGAUAGUCCGAGAUCAAGUUCCACAACUUUACACCGGAUAUCAGUGCAAAUCCAAGCAUCCACACCAGAAGCAUCCUUGAUUCCGCCCUGGUAAAGAGAACAUUUUUCCAUCUGCGUGACAAAACGUUGCAGCUCUCUUACAACAAACCUCAGCCCUCCAUUUUUGUAGAUUAAAAACCAGCGGAUGUGAUGAGUUGAUAUGCACAAUACGCAGCUCAUGCCUGAAAAAUAUAAUGUGGUACAGUGGUACCGGUCUGUUUGUCAAUAGGACUGGAGUGCUUUGUGGGUUUGUUUGUUAUGCAAGAAAAGAGUUGCCAAGAAAAUCGACCGGGAACAAACUCUGGAAAAAUUCUCCCCAAAACGACUUAAACGGAAAGCUUGAGAACUUAACUAUGUUAUGUCAGUACUAACUAUAAUCUUAGUUUUGAGCAUUACAAUACAAAGUCCAGAAGGACAAAAUUGGAGUCAUCGUCAUCGUUGAGACUCAAGAGUGUAUAUAUCUUCACCAAAAAUUUCAUUUGUGAUACUUUUGAUCACAGCUCCAAUAGCUCAGGAAAGUACCAAGUUUGCUUACCAGUCAGGUCAACGAUCUUAGAACCUUACCAAUUUAAUUCUUGUAUGAUAGGUGAUCCGCAGAGUAUAUCUUGAGUGCAGUCGUAACGUAAUCACUCUGUCAUCAGCAAGUAAGAAACAGCUAUAUCCAUUCAGAGACACCUUACUGAGUGACGUCAGACUUCAGCUCUCUGUUCACAUAAUCCAAGUAUCCCUGACAAAUAUGGAAAUAUAAAUUCCUGUUAGCACCCAACACUCUGAAAACUGAUUGAGAUGAAUGCUAUUUGUAUUGUCUACCUGAAACAACCAAAGAAUUAGUUCUCGUUUGAUAACCACCAUUUCACAUGAUUGAGAUAUGCAGAAAGUACAUAUGGGAGAAAGGAUAGAUGAAGAAAGUUGGUGGGAGAGAAGAAAUAAAGAAUAAUGAACGAAAAUGAAAUCUUGAGAGGGAAAACAACUCACAGUAGCUUUUGGUUUUUAGUUUUCAUUUUGUGUACAUUUCUUCUACAUCUAUCAUAAAUUUCCCCAUAUCUCAAGCAUAAAUAGUGAAAAAUAAAAAACUAAAAAAAUGGUCAUCAAAAGGGUCCCUUACAAUAUUUAUUCAGUUUUAUCUAGCACAAUCCGACACCUUUCAUUGGAUUCUAUGUAACAGAAGAAAACAUACAAAGCUACCUGGAGUAUACCAACAGCAGCAAACUUGUCCAUAAUUGUCUUGGACUGAACUGGAGGCAGAUUCAAAGGCUUCAACAGUAGUUCCACAUUCUGUUUGCGGUAAAAUAGAAUCUGAGAUUCUAGAUCGCUUACAAAAUAAGGAUACUUGUUGUGUAAUUUGUAAUAAUAGCCUAACUCUUAAGUGUAGGCUGCUCUCUUGCCGGCAAACAAAGUACAAGCAAGAUCUUUAACAUUUGAAACACAAAAACUGCAAAACCUAACGGAUAGUAAAUUAACACUAGACACAUCCAAGUUAGCAGCAGUGCCCAUAUGAUGAAUGAAUAGUGUGUCAGAAGCAUCAUGUCACAAGACUAAAUAAUUUUCCCACACUAUAUGCACUAACCUUUGAUGUAAAUCCCUCGUCCCAAUAUGUAUACUUUAAGCCUUCCAGUUUUCUUGUCUUAGAGAGGUCGUCAAUGAAAAGCUUCACUUGGACAGCCUAAACAAAGACGAGCAAAUCAUGAUAAAAAAAAAAUGAGAGUCCCCACAUAGACAACUCAAGCUAAGAAUACACACAUCAGGAGUCCCUUUUUGUCUGUCGAACGGGUAUCCAACAAUGAAGCCCACCAGAGAAAGCUCAGAAAUCUGCAUACAGAAACAGAAGGAAUUAUGAAUCUGACUUGGGAACUAACAUGGACCAAGGUUUCAAACAGUCUUACAUCACUGAUGUACUAUCAUGUAUGAUUUGUACGCAUGCUUGGUUACAUGCCUGUUACGCCUAGAAAUCUAAUGAUAUUGAAUACAUGGGUAUGACCAGGAGAAACCAAAGUUCCUAAACUCAUGAGAAGUUCAGAACCAAUCACGAAGAAAAACUAAACGCAUAUAGAUAUCUUUGAGGCAGCAUUGAUAGGUACAUUCUUCGAUAUGGUCAAUAUUUGCAUGCAAAUAUCCAAAAAAUUAAAAAAAGAUAUGGUAAGGGGGGGGGGGGGGUUGAACUUCACCUCUUAUCAGAGAAACGAUUAAGUUUAGGCUAAAAUCGACAUAUAGUCAAUAUUGCUGACACAUCUGUUAAAAUAGCGGAGAAACUCAUAUUUCGUUCAAACCAAAGUUUGACAACAUACCCAAAGUUUCAUUUUAAAUUUCCAGAAUUUAACAGUGCCAGAACAUCUGUAACUUCAAUUUCCAGAAUUUAACUUGUAAAUGGCCCUUCAAUUAACAUAAACAAGUAAAUAAAAUCAGGAAAUGAACAAAAAACAAAAAAAAAACUCACCAAACUCUGAAAAUCGGCGGCCAUCAAACCAAUAUUUGAUUUCUUCCUCAACAGAACACUGCGGAGCAUCAAAUAUUAAGAGACCCAAACUCAUAUGUGAACCAUAAUUUGAAGAUUUACAGGAGGAAAUUAUUCCAGUACCUCAAGGGCGACGCAAUCUUGUUAUGAAGAUCCGAAACGGCUACGCCGACGUACUUGUCACCGACGUCCAAACCCAGCAACCGCCCGCGUUCCAGAGUAUUGGCCUUGAGCAGAUCCUGGAACAAGUUCAGCGGCUUCACGUACCUCAUCUAAUUCGAUGCGAAUUUGUCCCAAAUAUAUUUGAUGAACUCACUUAUGGAUUUUGUCCUACACUUACGGCGUCGACUGAUUAGCGAGGGUUUUCUUGUUUUUUUGGUUUUUAAACAAACCAUGUUAUGAGGAGAGGUUUAGUUAGGGUUUAAAGUUCAUUAGGUUCUUACCUGUAUAAUGAUUAAUGAAUAGUUCUAAUUCGUUUUCCACAAUAAUCUAACUUUAAACUUCUUACUUAUAAAAUAAAUAAAGGGAAAUUUUAGUUGAACUCAUCUAAUCUAUUUCUACAUCCAACAUACUCUUUGUACCCAUUUGAUUUUUAACUAAACUAUUAAUAUCUCUUUAAACCCAAAUUUGAUACCUAAUACACCCACAUAAACCCAAUUCAAUAUGUGGAUUUAUUUUUACACCCAUUUGAUAUUUAGAAGCUAAAUUUGAUGUGUUCAGACCUAAGUUCUUUGCAUGGUUUUCCACAACACAAAAGCUGAUAAUUCAAGUGUCACCUGCAUGCUAAAAAUCACUUCGAAAAGCGAUCUGUAUAGUUAUGGGGUUGUCAUUUUGGAGAUCAUAACUGAGAAAAGAAAAGGCCGGUGGACCCAUCAUUCACAGAUGGGCAAGUCUGCAAAUUUACGAGAUAAAAAUCAAUGGCUCUCAAGGCCGUUCAUGUCUUUGAUGUUCCAAACCUCGAUCAAGUCACAGAAAAUGCUGCUGCAUUGGCCAUACAUUCUCCGUGGUUGGCUCAAGGUCUCGGCAUUUUCCAUCGAAUUAAUUUCUUGUGAUGUUUGUACUCGUGAGGAGCUAUAUUUAAGUAUCGUACUGUUUUGUGUUAUUUUCUAUGAUUAUAAAUGUUAUAUUUCCACAGGCUGAAUACUGGAUGAUGAGAGGGCAAAAUUAUAUGCAAUGGUGGUCAACAAAGGUUUUUCUGUGAGAUUUGCUUUUGCUGCUGCAAUUUUUGGCAAAUCCUCAGAAGCUCUUUUCUGGCUACAGCUGCCUUGUACUCUUAACCAUUUGUUGAAUAAGAUGGUAAAUAAGUCUCCGCAAAAAACCCCUGCUUCAGCAUUCGUUCCAGAGAUUGAUGAUGCAUCUAAGCUUAAUAGGAUAACAUCAAGGGACCUGGAUUGUCUGCCCUCUCCCAUCCCAUACCCUUCCCAUCCCUUCCUAUUUCUGUGGUUACGGUUAAGCCACGUUCAACAUUUUAUAUUGAUUUUUUUUAGAGAAAUAAUAAGAUAAAAAGCAAUGAGAAUAUAAAAUGUUGACAUGGCUUAACCGUGACCACAGAAAUAGGAGGGGAUGGAAAGGGUAUGGAAUGGGGAGGGCAGACAAUUCAGGUCCAACAUCAAAAGGAAAGUCAGUUUCUGGAACAGAACAUAAAGAUGCAAUGGUAAGUUGCAUUUCAAGAUAAUAUUUUUCCCAAAUUUUGUGUACAAGAUUUAAGCUAGGUUGCUACGUUACUCACAUUUCUCCUUAUCUUGUGCUCUUCAAUUCUAAACUAUUGUGUGAUAUUUCCUUUAUAUAAGCUUUUGUAACAUCUUUAUGAGAGCUAUUAGGAUUUUAGCCGGAAUGAACGUAGGAUAAACAAAGAAUGAUGGUAAGAUUUAAUUAUAAUGUUUGGGUUUAUUGAUAAAUUUGAGUUUUAUUACUAAUUUCAUUUUGUACUUAAUAGUAAUUAUGCAAUACGAUAAAAUAGAUAAUUAACAUUUAAAAUUUUAAGUUGGGUGUAAAAAGAGGUUGAAUGAGUUUAAAUAAAAUUUUCCUAAAAUAAAUGAAUAGGAUACAACUAGCCUCUUACAGAUUACUGUUUAAUCCUAAUUGUUGAAUUUGUUUAAUUUAUUCAACCCAAUAGCCAUAGACAAACAGGAAAACAUGAGAUGCUAAAAAACGUGUGAAAGGGGCUGCUUUACUCCAUACAACUGAAAGUUGCAUUUAUAACUUCAGAAACAUUUCCAGGGCGGAAAAAACACAAAGGGGAAAACUCGUCAUAUAGCUCAAGAAAUUAAAAUUUAGGACCAUCUACGUGAGCUGAAAUCAUGGUAAUCAAUUGAAUAAAUUAAAUGAUGGCCUACAAACAAUUUUCUUUUUAACGUUUCACCCUUCCAAAUGAGAAAACAGAGAGAGACUAUCAAGCUUGGCACGUCGUUUAGCCGCCCUUCUGAAAGGUUUCCGAUUUCGCCACCAUAAACGUUCUAUCCCGCUAGAACACCUAUAAACAUUGUUGGGGUUCUUUUGUGCUAGACCGGACUCCGCCUUCUUUGGGUUCGUCCUGCACUUUGCAUGCGUAGGAGAGGGCGUUUUGGGCUCUACAGAUUUCGCAUCAGUACAUCUGUCGAAGCAUGCAUUUUGGGAGAACCAGUUAUUGGACACGCAUGGUAUAGGAUACAAUAAAUUUGGAGGAGACCAGACUGACCUCUCUUGAUCCACCGCGGGUUCACAAGACAACUCUUCUCCUAGAGGCUGACAUGCAGGGCAUAUGUAAACCUUUGGUGUGGAACGUAAUUUAAUGCAAUCAAAGUGAUACCACUCAUUACAUUGGUCACACGCAAUCAUUGCUCGUUGAUCAUACGGCUUUCGGCAAAUGCAAUAAAGCAUACUCCGAGCUUUCAACAACUGAAACAAGUAAGCAUUUUUUCAUAGGGGGUCAGAGAUCAGCACAGUUUAUUAACAAAAGGCCACAGCACAUAAUUAAGAUGAAAGCCUCCUCUGUACCUUAAGUUCCUUCUCUAGACGAACAGGCAAAUUUUCACCCUCCGAAACAAGUUCAAAAACUUUAUCCAAGGGGAGAGCCCCAGAAUCGGCAGCAACCUGUGCACAAAAGGCAAAUAAGAGAGGAGAGGAGAGAGAAAAAGAGAAGAUAGGAGAAAGAGAGAGGACAGAAAAGUGCUCCUAACCUUCUUAGCAGUAUCUGCCCACUGCAAACCAAUAAUCCUCACUUCUGUAAGUUUCUGCCAAUAAUAAUCCGAAGGCGGAAUGUUCAAGGCAGCUCCCUAAGCAUUGAAGAAAAGACAAAUAAAUGCAUGAAUAUUAACUACAGAAAAAAUAUACGAUAUUCUUUCCUGCUAAAUUGCUAUUCUUGAUAAAGGUUUGCUAUUUUGGACAAUCAAGAGUAACCUCACACCAGAACAUUUGUUUUUGCCUUAAAAGUUGAAGUUCAAUGUAUUAAAUGCUUUUUCUUUCAUUUCUUUAGUUUCUAAAAGCAAAAAAACUGUAGCCCCCAUUUCUCGGUAUCCAGUACUCGUGCACAAGCAAAGAAAUUUCUCGAUCUAAUAAACAACUGUUGGAAAAUGUUUUCCAUGCCACCGUUUGGUCAAAAAAAAACCAGAGGACUGAGAAAUUGUUGCACGAGAAAUCCAUCUUAAGAACAUAGAACGCGCUUCAAAUUCAUUUAAUAUCAGCAGGACAUACCUCUUUUAACUGCUGCUGAACCUGUUGGAUUGUGGGCUUUUGUGAACCCUCCAAUAACCUAUUGACUCUGACUUUCCAUGAGUAUCUUGAUAAAGCCAACAUAAGGUUGAUAUCACCUUCAUGAUCAUGCACACCCUGCAUUUCUCUGGCCUGUAUAACAAAAACAAUUUCAAUCACGAAGAUGUACCAAGCCUAUAUCAAGGUCGUUCCCAUCAACAGAAUAUACCAAGAUUGGUUAUUCUCCAUUUUUCUUUUCAAUUUCUGGAAGACUAGUUUUCUAACAACAUAACUAGCAAAUUCCAACCCAAAGGCAUUUAUACUAGAUGACAAAGCCAAUGGGUCCAUCAUAUUUAAAAUAAAAUAAAAUAGUUCAACACUACAGCAAAACACUCCUUAAGAUACCUUUAAAGCUGUUGUUAGUUUUUCAACGAGCACACUGAGAUCCUUAUCAGAAUAAGCUAAUGCAAAAUCCACUAAUUCUGUCAAGCGAGAUUUGCAUGCUAGAGCUUGCUUCAAAACUUCUUUCAGUACAUCUCUUUCUUUAAUACUGUAAAUCCAAAACAAUGUUAAUAAUUUCAAUAACUUUAAGAACAAAGCAUGAAUAAACAAGUAACUUAAAAGAGUGCACUUCAUUACCAAACACAGAAGUCUUCUUCACCAGAUAAAUGUUCAAUAAUUUUUUGAAGUUCUGGACGCAUCCCACCAAGUUUCUAUACCAUAUAAAUAGGAUAUUAAAAUAGAUAUCAAACAUACAGCCUUCCUUACAGAAUAUACUAGACAAAUUAAAUACAUACCAGAGUACUGAGCCCACUUCGAGAAGAAGUUCCAGAUACCAGAUAUCGGCAACAUGGGCAUUCAUAUUCUGCAUGUUUUCCACCUACCAUGGAAGACCCUAGACACCGCAAAUGGUAGCUGUUCAAGAAGAUAUCAAGUUAUAACCUAUAACAGAGGGGAAGAUUUACAGGAAUUGUGUUUCUUGCUUGAAAUUCUUCAUAGUAAAAACAAGUGAUUGAAGUGCAAAAAUAAGAUUGAAAUAGCAACCUAAUGUGAAACAAUUAAGUACUAAUAAUAACAUGUAAGGGUGAAGAACCUGCAAAACUUUACAAUAGCAAUAAAUAACUUACCAGUCCUUGCAUGAAGAACAAGUGAGAAAUUCCUGAUCCAGAGAACCACUGGAGCAGCAAGCAAAAGAACUACUCUCUUUCAAGCCAUGUGGUUUCUCAUAUAUGUGUAUACAUCUCUUUAGAGUCUGUCCUAUCUGUGAAUCAAUAACAACGAUUUAAGUCCCCCCGGAAAACAUUACAAUUAGAUGUAAUAAAUUACAGUUUUAGCUGAAAACCUUUUCUAAACCGCCAAGCAAUGAAUUAUCAUCUCCAACUACUAUCCUGAAAAUAUCCAUGCACUGUUGUUUCCAACUCUCAACCCUUUCAACUUCAGAUACAAUCAAAUCUAGUUCUGUGCAACUGAAAGCAGCAGAAACUCCAAGUUCCUGAGUGCAAUUGAAUCAUAUUAGGCAUGUUUUCAGGAAUUUAAGUACAUAAUCGAAUGUAAUUUAACAAUCAAUAUAAUUGACAAGAGAAAGCAGGCAAAAAUUAUACAACAUUGACCAAGCCAAAGUGUUGUACUCUUCAACAAUCAUAGAAGUCAUCAGUUAUAAUCAAACAUCACCUAUGCUGAUCCAUUAACAUUAUAAAUACAAGUGAAGACAUUUAUUUAAAGGUGAACUGCUAGAGAACGAAGAUGAACUUUGUCAUUUCGAAAGCACUAAAGCAUGUAUAAGUGCACAAACUGACUUCAUACCUUUAGCUGUAAUGUUAGAGACCAAGAUCGUUCUCCUGGCCUUAGGCUGAAAAGUUGAUGCACUUGCUCAAGCCAGGACCUACAAUACAUUUACAAUUACUUAUUAUAAAUCAUACUGGUAAUGCAAGAGAGGUCAAUACAAAUUGAAAAUUGUGUAAUUUUUAAUCCCUGCAUUGAAAACCCAGAAACCAAAAGUUUUUUGUUUGUUUGUUGUUAUCCAGUUUGUUGCAUGCUUAGGCCCAAAUGGUUUUCCUUUGCCUCAAGAUCAAAAGGGAAAAGGUACAAUAAAUCAGACCACCCAAAGAGAUCAUAAAAUGAUAUUAGCAGAAAACAAGCCACUGGAUCAUGCAGCAUCCCCGAAGUUCUAGUAUACAAGUUUUAAGGACCAAUUCAUUCCAAAAGUUCUUUCCUUCAACUUGAUAACUAAACAUCAAAACAUUGCUUAAUACAAUAAAAUCAUGACAGAACUUUUAUUUCUACCUAGUAGAAGCAGAACCAACAUAAUAUUACCAAAUAAUAUGUAAACAAAUUUGGAAAUAAGUACUUUUUUUUUUCUAAAGAAAUAAUUUUGCAGUGACAAUAGUAUUUGAAAAACACUUUUCUCAAACACUCAGAUUAUUAGCCUCAUUUUCAUAUUCUGCAACAGCCUGGACUUGUAGCAUCCAUACCAAGUCCUUGAAGCUUUUUCAAUUUCCUCCCACAAAUAUAUCAAGUGAUGCACUUCAGUUUAAAAUGUGAAAGUAAAACAAUGGACAGGUCAAAAGACACUGCAAGCUCACAUGUGUUUCUGAAUAGCACAUUCAAGUUGACCAACCAUCAAUGGGAAGGAGACACUGAUACUCUGCAAAAGAAGAUGAUACAGUUUAGUAUGGCAAGUAUAAAAAUAUCCAUGUAUAGAAUUGAUUUGAAAUAUUACCAGAAAAUAAAAACACCUGAGAUUUAGAAAGAACUUCUUCAGCUUCACUUAAAGUGCAUCUUUUAGAAUUGCAUGAUGCAGAAAUAACCUUUGUAGCAUGCUCAAGCCAUUUCAGCCCUUCAACCAACGAGCCCCACAAUGCACUAGGGGCAAAUGUACCACAUAAAUUUUCUGCAGCACUCGCCAAAUUUUCAACAUCCUACAACAGAAAUGAUAAGUCUCCGUAAGAUUGCCAAUCAGAAAGGCAUUGUAUAGAAAGUAAAAAGAAUCAUAGUGUUAAAACAAGGCACAUGAAAACCAAGCAAGACCAAGAUAGCAUCCUCGUCAUUCCACCACUAGCACCAAGGUAGCUUAAAAAUCACAGGGAAACUUUUUUAAGUUGGUCUAUGUAAUACUGAUUUACACUUGCUUAGCAACUUGAGCCUUGCGUUCAUUUUGAUUGUGGUGGGUUGAGACUUGGGAUUGUCAUUUCAUUUAGGGCCAAUAUUUACUCUUCCUAAUUCCUUUUCUCUUUCUCAGCUCUCUAGUCUAUGUCCUCGCCAUCUCUCCCUUCUCUUUGAUUGAAAAAAAUGAACAAUAAAAGACAAAAAACAAAAAAACAAAACUUCUGUAAAAAACAUGCUUCUAGUUGUACGGAAAACUAGGAGUCCUGGAUGCGAUGGACAAACAGUGAUACACUUUUUAUGAUGUGUCGGACAAACAUUGAUACAUUCCUUGUGCUGUGCCUUGGUCCAUCAUAUUUCUCUAUCAUGUAUAUAUUGCAUUAAUUGGUACAAGAGCUGGUCGCUACUCCACCACUAAAUGCAUUUUAUCAUCCUAAUGAAAUAAGUAGAGGAGAUGCUCUACACCUGCAAACAUUUUCAGAUUAAGAACUAUAAAUUUCAAGCACUUCAAAGAUUUAGCAAUUGUCCUUUCAACUUGAAGGCGAAAUGUUAGUACUAGGAAGCAUGGAGGAUCAAGUCAUGGGAAUAUUAACGAUUCUAGUGAUAUCUCUGUUGAGAAUAUCGCAUUUAAGAAUGGGAAAAACAGAACAAACUCCGGAAAUCGAAAAACAAAUAACCAAGAUUAAUAACACCAAGAAUUUACGUGGUUCAGCAAUAUGUGCCUACGUCCACGGGAUAGCAACAACAAUCAAUGAGUACAACCAAUAAUCUUGCCAAAUCUCUAGAACUAGGACUUGACGAAAAACCUGAAAAAACAAGAACAAGAACAAGAAAUACACUAUCUCUUUUCUUUUCUCAUGCACACACUUUACAAUAUUCUCUCACUCUAAUCCCUUGAGUGGUAUACAAUUUAUUGUUUUGCUCCCUUCCUUCAAAACUAGUACCAUAGCCCCUUUAUAUAGACAUAAUAAAGGUCUUCUUCAAUAAGGAUUAUUAAUCCUAAUUGGAAUCUAGUUAUGAAUCCUACUCCAAUUGAGAAACUAACUCCAAUUGGGAAAACAACUCCAAUUGGGAAAACAAUUUAAUCCUCUAAGACUAUAAUUCCUUAUAGACUUAGAACAACUUAUCAUGGGCUGGAAAAACCUAACAAACUCUACCAGUAGUCAUAACUGGAUUUAGUUGGAAAUGCAAGGGGAAAACGGAUAUACUACCACAACUAAAACUUAAGCAUCAUGUUGUACGAUCACUAUUGCAAACUCAUACGAAGUUGAGCACAACCGCAACACAAAAUUUGAUUACUAUAGGAGUAUGAAGUAUCACCUCAAGGGGAGGAACUCCAAUGCUGAAAGAAAGAGCCUUCUUACACCAUUGCAGCACAGAACAAGCCUCCUUAAGUUUCACAAGCUCGCCAAAGUCAAAGGAAAGAGAUAAACCAGUGCUUCCCAUGGAUUUGAUUCUUGCAAUUAGAUGUUCAAUCUUAGAAAGAAGACCAUCUCUUGUUCCAUCAUCAACAAUCCUCAUAUCAAAUAGGCACCUUGUAUCUUGCAGUAGACAGCAAGCGCCAUUCUCCCAUUCCUUACAGUUCAUCAAAACAGUCUCAAGCAUCCUUAUUUCUUUCAAAGAAACCUUCAGAGGCUUUGACUCAGAAACUAAUUCCUGCAACAUUAAACCAUAUUGUCAUCCAGGUCUUUCAAUCUUUAGCAAAGAAAACAAACAGGAGACAUUUGAGAACCUUCAAGGUGUCGACAUUCAGCAAAGAACUUGAAACAGAUACCACAGGAGAAGUCAUUAAAAAUGGCUUUGACUUCCUCAACCAGAUCUUAGCCUUUGAUAGUGCAUCCUUGACAUCAUGGAGAGAAGAUAAAUGCACAUGUAUGUCUUCCGAACUCCUAAAACAUUCAAAUCAAUUAUUAGAACCAGCAAAGGAACUUAUCCACGAACACCCAUAUGGUUAAAAAAAUGUAAAGCAUGUUGAAGACCUGAUAACAUCCUCAAAGUCAGAUAUCUGAGCCUUGUGUGCAAGGAUAUAUUUCGCUCUUUCCUCCCACAGCAUGGCAACAGCUAACACUUCAGACAUAUCAACAAAUAACUUCUCCCCCUCAACAUGUAACCUGAAAGAGAAACACCAAUUGACCAAGGGUGAAUGCAAAUAUAAUCCAGAGUCUUCAGUUCACACUUGUAACAGGCAUCAAGGUUAAGGAACAUACAUUCUUGCCUCCAUCAUCACUUCUUGAAUGAAGUCCAGAGACAAUUUAGUAUCGCAUCUGCAUAUAUUCCAAGUAAAUUAUAUGCAUUUGGGUGUCCAAUUAGGAUUCAAACACAAAAAACAAGUGAAACAACAUAGGAGCAGGCCAGAAGAAGGGGGAGGGAUGGAUACCCAGUGGGUCAGCUUAGGCCCACUUAACUUCUUGUGUACACACUGCAAUUUUGCAACAUGGCAUGCACAAACUCACAUAGACACAAAUCCAAUGGGCCAGCUAAUCCCAUUGGGUACCCACAACCAUCUAUAGAGGGAGGAAGGGAAGGAGAAGAAUUACAUACUAAUAGUAACUUACCCUCAGCGCCUUUUCCCUGCACUGAGCCUUCUUCAACUCAAACUCUACGAUAGACAACUGAUCAACUGAUAAAAAACACCAGACCCAAUGUUAGCAACAGGAGAGACCUAUUUCCAUUAUAUGAGUACUGAAAAAGUCAACAUAUUCCAGAACCUUUAAUUUUCAAAGAUGCUCCAUCUGUUAAUAUGAGCAUUAACUCAUUAACUACAUUAGUUUGAUCCUCCCUUUUGUGAAUGUUCACAAGAACAGCAUUAAGACGAGAAAUCCAAGAAACUGUAUCAAUGUGGUACUGCUUCAGAAGCUUCAGCUCUGGUGUGUUUACAGUAAAACCAUCCAAUUGUUUCAGAAGCGCCUCAACAUCCUACAGAAGCCAUGUAUUCAUAAGUACAAGUACUUUAAAUCAUGCAAAUCAUUUGGGUAGCCUAUUAACCAUAUGACUAACCUCAAGGCUAAUAGGACCUUUCAAAAUUUCACCACAUCGAGCACGCCAUGAUUCAGCCGUCCUUAAUAGAUCUGAAAGCCUAUCCAUGUCUGGGAGUUCAACUUGGAGCUCUGAAAUCUGUUUAUUAGAUUCAAGUUUAAGAUCCCAACCACCAAAAACAAAUUGUUAAGUCACAACUCACAACCUAAAAGAUUUAAACAAAACACAAAGUUUGGCAACAGAACAGCAUGCCAGCCAUUAUUACCUCUGAUUUCAAAUUGUAAACAACAUCAAUCCCAAUUGCUGCAGUACGUGUCUCUGAGAUACAUUUUCUUAUGCCUUCCAUCAAGACCUGCCCCGAUAAUGAAGCCAGAUUAUAAACAUUAACUUGCCAUAUACCAAGAAUACGUUAUAGCUAGAAUUAUUGUUAACUCAGGUUUUAGUAGAAUUUGAAUCCAAAUAAAGUAAACUACCUCUGCAGAUGAAAUUUUUUGUAGUAAAUUUUCACUUUCUUUCACAUAGACUGGAAGCUCACAGGCUCUAGAAUACAACAAUUUCAACUCCGAUAUCUGGAGGGACAAUUGUAAACAAAUGUUAAUCAUUAUGAAUGAAGUCAAAUGAGAUCACACUAAUUGAUAGUGCUAUUUGUAGACAUCGAAAAGAGACAAUGCCUAUUUUCUUCAUGUACAUGCGUGACCAGAGAAAAGGUGAAUUUCUUGAGCUUUGCUCUGGCCCUGGCCUUUUUCUUCACAUUAGUAUCUUAAGAACACUGUUAGAUAAACUCAUGAGAAAAUAGACUUAAGAGAAAUAGAGAAAAACCUUUAGGCAUGAUGACAUAGCAGAUUCAAUUUCCUGUAUCAACAUUUUUGCCUUUUCUGCAUAGCCCUGUAUCACAUAAUCACACACCUGGUAAGAUUCUUAGUUGGCAAGCCAAGGAUAAGCACAAACUAACAAUUACAACCACUCAGAAAACUGUAACCUUCAAAUUAUGAUGCCCAGUCUCGUAACAGGGCACCGCAUCAAAACUCAGCAACUCAUUGAUAUAAUCCAAGUGAACUUUCUCGAUAUUGUUUCCAUGAUGAGAUGACCAAGUUUCAAGUUUAGAUAGACAAUCUCUUACACCUUCAGCCCAUUUCUGAAAUCUGAUCAAAUUCUUGGUUGUUUCCCGCACCUAUAUUUCAAUGUGAAAGUAGAUGAGCAUAAUGUCUGUUAGGUAAAAUUUCAGAACGUAGCAGAAGAUAAAAAGCAGUUAAAACUCACAGGAUUCAUCUCUGAGCCAGCCCAAAGAAACUGUUCAGCUUCUUUUAAUAAAGACACAUACUCAUCUCUUGAAAAUGGAUUCUGAGAAAUCUUGCAUGAGCGCAAAAGCCAUUGUUCUGCAAGUUGAGCAAAAGUGGCAUGGCCCCCUUUGACCUACACGCAUUGCAUGGCCUCAGAAGCACUCUAAAAAAAUCCACAUGCUAAUACAUCACAUAGUAGGCACCACAUUUGUUGAGUAAGUCGGUUAAUGUUAAAAAUCACGCAGGACAUUCUUAGAAAGAAAUAUAGAUUAACAUUAAAAACCCAAUCCAAAGCAUGAUGAUAGUCAGCCUAACAUUAUCAGUCAAGAUAAAAAAAUCCAACCUUUUUUGUCAAAGCCGUUGGUUCAUCAGUGCAUGAGAUAUGCCUUCUUAUAGUCCUACUUUGUGUUGUCUCCUCAAAACCAUGUUUAUCCAUUUCGAGGACCAAUUCAUGCAACUCUGCCAGAGAAUGACGAUAUAAAAGACGGAGUCUUCUGGAUUUGCAUUCGCAAAGGUGUUCCCAAUGCUGCACAAAAGGCAAAGUAUUUUUGUGAGAAUAAAGCAAAUGGGUUGAACAGUCAGACUUCCAAGUUCCUAGUCCAACCAUGUUCAUAAUUUUAUUUUACAGAGUAAAUAGUUAUCAUUAUAAUUUAGUUAGUACAAGAGAAUUCUUAGCAAGGUAAGGAUAUGAAACAAAGUUAUCAACUCUGGGUUAUAGAGAUCAGGUAAUUAAUAUCACCUAUCAAACCCCUAAUGAGAACAGAAAAAAAAACAGUCGGGUUUUAUCAUCUAAACUAAAAAUUUCCAACCAAGUAAUCUGCAUUCUGACUCAAUACCCCCAAACAUUGAAAAAAAUCUACUUACAAAUAUUAUCCAUAUCUUUGUUAGGAUGCUAAAAGAUUUGGAAUCAUGUAUAAUAGUAUGUAUAAUAUACUUGAAAAUUUUAUUUUACUCUUUUGUCCUCAAUCAAUCUAUAUAAAAAUGGAAUGUAUCUAAAAUUAUAUAAUUCUUUUUCAGUUUUUCCUUCCUCUCAUCUUUCCUUCUGAUAGGAUAAGGGAAACUUUGUAUCUUUGCUUUUAUUUCCUCUAUUCCACCUCAUGAUGUUCACUCCACCGUUAAAGGUUGAAUAGAUAAUAUCUAGGUGAUUGGUCAUUGCAUCACCUCCAUCAACUUAAAAUAAUUGGGAAAAAAAAUCUCCAAAAAAGAACAAUUGUGCAAACAUGUGCUUUUAUUUUUCUCCAUUCAAACUAUAACAAUCCCAUGCAAGGUUUAUAUGUGCAUGGGUUGGGAUCAUAUGUUACAUCUGAACUGAAUUUACACACAAAUUCAAAACAGAGGGAGGAUUCGAAACAGAUUCUGAGAAUCACAUACCUCCAGACAUACAAAUGCAGAUGGCCUACAACGACAAACAACAGCAGAAAGAAAAAGAUACUGUUGGCAUAUAAUGCAUGUAGGAUCCUACAAAAACAAAACAGCAGGAAAUAUCAUUAUCAUCUGAAAAUAAUUAAAGUUGCACAGCAUAUGCCCAAACACAAGGACGUAAUGCAGUAUGGCAAGUACCUCUUCGGUACCAACAUACUCAGGGCAUGUCCGAGAGGACAUAAGGGACGAUCUGAUGAUCCCUUUCCUCCAAAGGCGCUCCCUCCAGGUUUUUUCCUUAUUGUAGAUUCUAGUCAAUUCUUUCUUCAAAUAAGUUGAUACUCUGCUGUCACAGUCACUCUUCUAAACCAAAACAAAAUUAAGCGCAUGAGACCUAUAAUUCAGUUAAGUGACUGGAGACAGAAUUUAAGGGGAGAAAGGAAGCCAAUAAACAAUGUUGGCAAAAGAAAACUACUUUUGCAGCAUUAUUGACUAUAAUUUGAUAAUCAGACGUGAAAACCUUUUUUUAACAAUAUACAUUGAUGAGUGUAAGCUAUGCAGCCAAGGGCUAUCCAACAAACAUUAUUAUGCUUUCAAAAAGUACGUAAUAUACUAAUAUAUAAAGUUAAAAGUAAAAUGUCUUAUGAGUUUUUUUAGGUCUAUAAAAUAUAUCAAAACAUAUAAAAAUUAUAAAAACAGUUUCUUUCUGCUUAUCUUUUAUUUUUUUAAUAUCCAUAAAAUAAUAUAAAAAAACAAAAUCUUAAAAAAAAUGCUAAAAGAACCUGUAACAGCUGUUAGUAAAGCGAAAAAAAAAGAAAGAAAAACCAGCCAAAAGUUCGCGUCUUCUUCAUCUUUGCAACUGAAAACAAAACGCAGAUUUCAACCAAAUUUUUUUCAGAUUUCAGCAACUUUUAUACAAAACUGACGCCUAAUCAAACGCCCUGAAGUGAGCCUCAUCCACCCAGGCGCGCCCCGACAAAGCUACACGAGUUUUUCGCCGACUCCCACAAAACAGAAAAGGCAAGCCACCCACCCAGCCUCUGAGGCCGCCUAGGCAUGCCCUGAGGCGAGUAUUUUAAAACACUGGGUAAAACAAUCACAAAUUUUAUUACCAAGCAAACAGGACUUGCAUUUGUGUAUCAUUAUACAAUACAAGCCUAGGUAUUUGUUGUACACAUGCAUAUAGUAGAAUAAGAUGUUCUAUCACUAAAAUUAACCUUGGCUAGCACACAAACAAGCUCCUCGUGAGACAGAACGGCAGUUUUGUGAUAAAGCUGAUACAGCCCUGCUCCAAACCCACCAUGAGGUAGCCAGUCCGCAGGAGCAAAAUUGACAGCUUCUGCACAGUUCAAACCUGAAAAUGCCAGAGCAAAGUGUUAUCCCUGCGCAGCAAUUAACUGAACACUACAUCUACUAACCACUAUCAACUUGUAAAUCAAAAUGCCACACCAAGAUUAAAGCCUCCAUGGUAAGAUCUGGGGAAGGUGAUGACAAAAUUCCCAGGCUCCUAGCAGAGAGCAAGUGUGAAAAGAACAUCAACAAUUACUAAAGAUACCAGAUAGAUGAAUAAUUUAAAAUUGGUAUGUGUAUAAUUAAAGUUGAAAAGGAAACCAUAAAUCCAGUUUUGAAUGUACUUAUAGAAAGCCAUGCCAGAGCAUUGCAUACAAUUGAGAACCUACAGAUUCUUAAUUCAAAAUUCUAUAUAUUACCAAACUCCUUCAAAAGAAAGGGGAGUGCAAAAACAAAGGAAACCUCUAGCAACAUUUCAUUAAAAAGUGAAAUCUCUAGCAACAUAAAAACUACAGUUGUCACUGUGUCUCCCCAUUCAUAUUUUUCUGUGUGAAAAAUUAAUAUUAGCAUUUUUCAGCAUUGCUUUGUCAAUUAUAGAAGAAAGGCUUUCAUAACACGAUAUCGAAUUCAAAAUGCUCAAACCUGUAGCACACUAUAUACAGGAACUCCAUUCUCUUGCAAGACAGAUGGAUUUAACAUGGUGACAAGCUGAAAGAGUAAAUCGGGUUGUGCAUCAAAAAGAUCAGGAAGACUGUUGCGCAUCACCUACAAGAACAUAAGUAAAAAAAUGUGUCUAUAAUAAUCCAGCAUCAGAAAAACACUAUUUGGUUGGCAUAUGAACCACCAAUGAAAGCAAUGGUAAAUAUGAAGCUUUACAGAAUCAGAAGAGAAUUAUAGCAACCAAUGAGAGGUAUGAUUAAAUACAAAUUAAAUUCAUUCCCUUGCCAUAAUAAUGUACUAUAGAAAUUCCGAAUUAGAAAAAAAAAAAAGAACAAAAAAAUUUGACUUACAAGAAGGAUACCAUAAAUGAGAAUGUGCUGAUAUUCUAAGAACAAAUACCAAACCCCCAAAAUAGAUUAAAAGAAUGAAAGGGCUACCUUCUCAAAUGCACUGGCUUCACUACCAGGGACGCUGUACCAACAUUUUGGCUCUCCCCUGAGAAAACAAUAUUAAGCUAACAUUCAAAUCAUCCGCCUUAAGUUACAGAAAGGAAAAAAUAUUUGACUUCUGAAAAAGAGCAAAUAUUUUAUCACUGAAUAUGAAUUGUCACUUUGAAAGCUCACAUCCCACAAGUUUCCUUAAAAAAAAACCCGAAUAUAAUUUAAUGAAGAAAAGGGAAAUACUCAUCCACUACAGAGAGACAACAAAAGAAUAAAACUUUGAAAGUUGUUUUUUUCUCAAAUAUAUGCAAAAGUCUGAAGGUAAUCCAACAGCAUAGCCUCAUAAGUCUACCUACAUAUCGGCCUUCAACUAUGAAACACUUAAUUUUCCAAACUAGUUGGGCAAGAGAUGCAAAGUUGGUUUUUAAUUGAUAAGUGAAACUAAAAAUAGAAAUGACUCGUCACUAUAAGCCAACCACAAUGAGAUGAUACUAGGACAUGGCUGAGGUUAGAUAAUUGUUUCAGUACUCAAAUAAUCAUUAAAAGAACCCAAGGUGCAUGAUUGAAAGAUGACAAAUGGACAGGUUUAAUUUAAGUAAACCAUAAUCAAAGUUAAAAUCAAAACUGGUAUCAUCAACCAGGUAUACUUCAAUGCGAUAACAAUUUCACCAAUGAAUGUACUUUUAUGUUGACUGAAUUCGGCACUGGGAAUAAUCAUCGCAAAAGAAACAUUACUUCCAAAAGUGUAUUUUGUAUGUGAUGCACGUAUGUUUCCUGAAAAUGCUGUCCUCUGGUUAUAACCUAAAAUCUUGUUCAAAAGUCAUCCCGCACAUAGCUUCUUUUGAGUUCUUUUAAUGCACAAUAUUAACAGGGUACACAGAAAUUUUAUUAUUAAUUUCAUAGGAUUCCAUGGGAAAAAAACGAGUGAAAUCAUGUCUUUCUUUUCUUUUCUUUUUUAGGGCAAUAAGGGUGUCUCCUUGUCUUCUCUUUCAUGUUUCUUAACUCUUGUAUUUAUUUGCUGGCCCCAAAUAUUUCUCUCUCAGUCACACACACACAUACACAAACCAAUAGGAGUUGGCAUCUGAUCCUGCUCCAUGGAAUGUGCACAAGUUUACAACUCAAUGGCACUAAUAAUCAUCUUACGUGGAUAGUUUAUUUUGCAUUUGUAGCCAAAAUUAUCUUGUUUAUAAUAUUAAAAAAUGCACAAGAUAUACAUACCAGUGGUGAUAAUUCAUUGAGUAAAAACAAUGAUCUUCAAAAUGCCAGCAAAAAGAUGAGAACAACAUCCCAACAUACAGCCAAGGAACCAUAACACCAGCAAUGUUAUGAUGAACAGCUUGAAGUACUGAUCCUUUCAAUUUGGGCAAGUUAUUGAGAUUCCAUGGGCUACUGCAGUACUCAUCCCAUAUCUUGGCCUCAGCUGAUUCUGGUUUCUGGUCAUUUACACGUGGAAACCCACUCCCAUAUAUGGAAGUAUCCAAGUCACUGCCAUACUUAACUUCCACCUCACCGACUGAACCCUCCACAAUCUCCCAAAACUUUUUCUCUAUUUGCACCCUUGAUGCAGAUCCUGCCCCAAACCAUUUCCUCUUGGAGCGAUUAGCCAUACGCCUAAAAACUUCCAGCGAGAACUGCUUACCAGGAACAAAGCCAAAACUAUCCUUGUCAGAAUUCAAGCAAUCCAAACAAUACCAAUUCCCUGGCGGAACCUGUUUCAAUGGAGGAGACAGGCAAUAAAUGUGCCACCCCUUAUUACACCUAUCACACAAAAGCAUCACUUCCCCGUGCAGACCACUUCUGCAUUGUUCACAUAUCUGAUCAUGCUCCUCAUCCUCCUUCUCUACCUUACCGACCUUAACUUUCUCACCACCAUUAUUGACUCGCCUCCUUUUGGAGCUGGAACAUUCAAAACUCUGUCCACUCUUUUCCACAGGCAUAACCCUCUUACAUCUCCUAGCCCCCUCUUUGUUCAGCUUGUUAUAAUACUUUUCAUAAUCAAACAAAUGGUCUCGAUACAGUUGACACAAUACGUGCUUCGAGCACUCCGAAAUCUUUAUCAGCGGCGUCACAAAACGAGCAACCUCCGCCCACUUCUUCCCCUUGACAACCUUAUCAUAUCCUCCAUACCGCUUCACAGCAUUAAAUAAUUUACACAAAUCCAACUCCUCCCCUUCAAAAACCACCCUCUUCCGCAACUUCUUCCCACAGUGGUCCUCCCAAAACCUACUGUAUUCCAACUCAAAAGUCUUGGAAUCGCAAGACGCAGGCCGCACCUGAAGCUGGUGAAUGGCCUGCGUCUUUGUAGGAAACGUAAACAAAUCCAAAUCCAACGCAAAUGGGGGUUUCCAGCACUUCGGCGGAACUAUCCUACAAAUCCCAUACGCCUCGGCCUCUGGCCUGAUCUUAUAAAUAUACUCCAAAGGGUCUCUAAAUUCAUCCUCACUAGGGUAAUACACAGGUGCAGAUGGAAUAUUCAAUGAUCCAGAUGCUGUAACACUCAAAUUUUGACCUACCACUCCCUUCUCCACAGCCCUGGGUUUUCCCUUUCCCAUCAACACCACCACACAUAUACGCAGAACCUAUAUGCAUAUAACUAACUACCUACAUAAACAUAAUUAAAUUCCAAUUAAUUUAAUUAAAUUGACAUUGCAGUACUGAAAUUCGAACUCGAGUGGUUUUUAGGGUUUUUGCAGAGCGUACCUUUUGUAGAUAACCUCAGACUGGCGAGUGUGAAUUCCGAGUUUCGUACGAAACCAAAGUGCAAGGCAAUUUAAAGGAAUGAAGGAUAAUUACGCAUUAGGGCCUGAAAAUGGUUAAAACUACGAGAAUGGCAACUCUAUCUUUUACUGGCCGUAUGUUUCGUCGUUAUUGUGUUUGUCUCGUUUGGUCUUUUUACGCCGUUUGCAUCGAGGCGCGGAUUGUUUGGGGGACCCUUCACGCGCUGCGAUAUCGGGCAGCUGACCGUGUGGUGUGGGAUGGAAUCGACGGUCAGGAUUCAGGCGAUUUGUUUUGCUCUUGGCUUGAGAGCGUGUUUGGUCGCACGUGUGUGAUAUAUAUUGAUCAACCGUACUGUUGUCUACCUCCUCGUUUGGAAACACGUGUCAGUCUUGAAUGGAUUAGGCGUUUUCAAUUUUUGUGUCGUCAAAAGAGUUUCUUAUUUAAAGGGGCACUUCCAAACUUACUGGCUAAGUGCUCGUUUACGUAAUCGUAAUUGAAACAUGAAGAAUUAGAUUGAGAAUGAAUCAGAAUUGAAUUCUAAUUGAAACUGUUUCUUUAAAUGUUUUAGAAUCGAAAUAAAAAUGACAUUGAUUCCAUAAAGUUGAUUAUUAAUUCAGCAGAAUCAUAAUAUAAGCUUGUAUGAUUACUAAAAUGUCCAUGUCCCAAAUCAAAUAUUUUAUAGGGAAAUACUCAGAAAUAAGACAAUUUAUUAAUCUUCAGACAGAAAUAGGACAUUUCAAAUAUGCACACGACAUACAUAACAAUCAGACAGAAAUAUGAUUUUCAUGCACCUUGAAAUGACCAAAUUGUCCUUGUAACAUCCCACAUCGCCCAGGGGAGUGGAUCUUGUAAGCCUUAUGUGUAUAUUCUCAUCUCUACCUAGUACGAGGCUUUUGGUCACAUCCCGAACCAAGCAUCCACCACAUCAUGGUGCUCAACUCGGCCGUAGCACGAUAUUGUCUGCUUAGGCCCCGACGAUGCCCUCACGAUUUUGUUUCUGGGAACUCACACGAGAACUUCCUAGUGGGUCACCCAUUAUAAGAUUGCUCUCACGCGAACUCGCUUAACUUCAGGGUUUCGAUGGAACUCGAAGCCACUAAGCUCCCAAAAGGCCUUGUACUAGGUAGAGAUGAGAAUAUACAUAUAAAGCUUACAAGAUCCACUUCCCUGGACGAUGUGAGAUGUUAUAGUCCUCCCAUAUAAAAGGGGUAUCCAAAAUUCCAGCCCUCAUUUCUCAUUUUGUAGAGAGAGAAACAGAGAACAGAGAGAGAAAGAGUCUAUCUUACCGAAUUCCAAUUAGAAGAACCCUACCUAUCUUUGUCAUCCAAGAGCUCUCUCUCUCCUCUCUCUAUAUUUUGAAUAUGCAUAAGAGCUCUCUCUCUAACCCACCAAUCUUCUUCGAUUUUUACCUUUUCAUUUGUAGGUUUUGUGAACUGGGUUUGCUUAAUUUUUCUUUUUGAUUGAUGGAUUUUUAGAGUUGAAGUGAUUGGUUUGGUGUUUCUUUGAGGAGACCCAAAUCCUUCAAUUUUUAUUUUUUUAUUAUUUCUCUGAUUUAUAUAUGGGUUUUCAUUUCUUUCUUCUUCUUCCUCUCUCGAUCCAAAUUUACAAGCACUAAAAUAUGGUUUGGCUUUUGCUGCACUUAAAUGAAAAAAUGUAUUACAGGUCAAUUGCCUUUUGAAGAAAAUAUAAAUUUUGAGAGAAAAGAGAGAAAUCAGAGUGGAAAGAAAGAAGAGAUAAGGAUAUGGAUGAAAUUGUUUCAUAUCAAGCUCGCUCAUAUACGACAUGCACAUGUUAUGCUCACAGAUCUGAGCUUAACAAAAAAACCCAUAACUCAUAGCUCUCUCCUCGAAAUCGGAAAAAUGACACAAUCAGAUAAAUGACUCUAAACUUUAUGUGAAGAAUCAAAGAUUCAUUAAUUUGAAUUUGGUAUCAAAUUUGAUUGGGUUCAAAUAUUUCAAGGAUUUGAAAAUUGCAGUUUGAAUAGGCAUGAAAGAACUCGAUCAAAUCAAAGGAAAUUGUUUCACGAACUCAUUUACUUUUUUCGUAUUUGGAGGGCUUGCAUCUGAAUCAAAGGAAAAAGUAGUAAACUACGUUAAUGCGAAGAGUAUCAAAGAUAUAAAUACACACCGUAUACACUAUAUGCACAUCACAUGCACAUAAUAUGUACAGUACAUGCAGAUGAUAUGCACAGAACGUGAUAAACUGCAACGACAACAUAUUGGUAUAGUGGAUACAAUGAAAACAUAAUUGUUACAUAUAUAAGGUUACAAUGACAGUUUGAAAAGUCUUGUUACGUAUAUUAACCACCGCUUAACUGUGCACGUGGAAAACAUGAUACUCGUUGUCGUUAUUUCAUGGACUUGCAUGACCCUUAACGUCAUCUAAGCUUUUUCUUAAUUUUGUUUUUAGUUGAGGCCAACUAGGUUAUGGUCAUACUCACUAAAUUUCGGGGCACAACAUACAUGCAUCAUAACUAUUGAACAUUCUCGCUUCUCAUAUUAAGAUGUAGCCAUGCACAUCACAUGCACAUUAAAGAAAAAAAUUUCACAAAUUUCUACAAUUGAACACUUAAACAAAAAAUGAUUUCAUCCCAGUUUUGUAGCAUGUCAAAAUUUGAAAUUUAUUCCACAACCCAUAUGUCACAACAUGAACACACAAACCUUAAUUUAACUUCUAAGUAUUAAUUCAUCUUACAAACAACCCAUUUAUUCCAUAAAUCAUUGAUGAAGAAACUUGGAACUAAACACCCUACCUUACUAUGUCUGCCGAAGCUUUAGUCGUCGGAAAAAAUGGAACUUUCCGGCCAAAACAGAAAAUAUGGUACAAAAUCCAGCUCACAUUUUCUCACCUCUCUCGCAUCCAUUUGUUCGAAAUCAGAGGUAUGAGGGUCAACCCAAAACUCAGCACAAUCUUCUCGCCUCUCUUUGGACUUCCACCUCUUCGAAAUCGGAGUUCAGAAUUCUGAGCUUAACCCAGAAACCCAAAGCUCACAGAGCUUUCUCGACAUCUUUCUCUUCCAAAUAAGAGUAGUGAUGCAAUGGACUGAUGAUUUUUGGUAUUUAUAUGUGGGUAUUUUAGUAAUUUUGGUUUUGUGCAUGGUGUGCGUGGCCGGGUUGUCCCAUUUUUGUCCCAAGAUUAAGAAAUUAUUCCAUUUUAGGGUAUUUCCCUAUUUUAUAUGCUUGUUUUUUCAAUAAAAUUUGAUAUAAUAUACAAUAAUAAAAAAACUCAAAUUGCUGUUUUAUUUCAUAGACACACUUAAACUGGUUUUAUUUAUUUCUAAAUUUAAGUAUUUACUUUAAUAUUUAAAUUUUCUUGCUCAAGUUAUAGUUUCUUCUCUUCAGAAUAUGCAAGUGGAGUUGUGCAUAAUGGGAAUGAGCCAGAAGGAAGUAGAAACAAAUUGUUAGGAGCAUUUUCAAUCUAUGAAACUAGAAUUAACAUGAUUAAAGUCAAUAUUUUACAUCAAAGUACAUCUUCCUAACCAUAAUAACCAACCUAAACAAAAUAAUCAUGCUCUGCCAAAACAUCGUAUUAUCAACAAAAUAUCCAUAACAUGCCUAUACAUCAUAUUAUCUACAAAAUAUUUCUAACCUACCCAAACAUCAUAAUAACAACAAAAAGUGCUCAUUCCUAAUCAUCAUGGUGUCAACUAGUUAGUCAUUAGAUUUACAAAACAUUCACAAUCUUCUCAAAUAUGUCAUUUGGCAGCAAGCAGCUCAUACCAAAAAACUAGCAUUCACAAUCUUCGGAUAGUCACUUAGAUGCCAUUAUGCAUUCAAGUCUGCAACACUAAAGUUCUCAUGCUCCACGAACAAUUCCAAAUACCCACAUAUCACUAUAUUAAUAAUUCCGAAAGCAUUUCCACAAUAACUCAUGGUUUUUAUUUAUCAGAAAAUAAGAAUAUUUGGAAACACAUUACAUAAACCACUCACCUCAAUAUUAUGAGCUUUGACAAGGCAAUCGCAUACCUCAAACCCUAGCUUUCUCUCUUUUUAUUCUUUUCUAAACUCUUUUUAAACAUACAUAUACAUACAUACACGCACUAACACGUUGCAUGAAAGAAUGCAAUGACACCGCCUAUUUCUACCUGCCAUUAUAUGUCUCCUAAUAUGCGAUGAAUGAAAGAGUGCAAUGCAACCCUCUAUUUAUAGUAGAAAUAGGCGGUGUCAAACUUGCUUUCAACUAGAUGGUUUUGCGGCUAAAGAUGACUAAGGUAUUGCAUGUACAAGGUGUCAAAUGCAUAGCUAAUAUGCAUGAAACGUCCAAUUAAUAACUUCAAUUAGUAUGCAUAAUUGAGUGCUAUGUCAGCACUUCUCAUACAAACUAGACAUGUUGCAACCUAGUCAUCAAUUCUAGAGCCAAGAAGAAGUUAACUGAGAAUGGUAGAAAGGUAUUUAUUUGAAUGAGAUGAGAAUAAUGGGUAUAUCGGACAUGUACAUAAAAUUGGGCUUCUAAUAAACUCUUUAAAAUAAAAUAGAAAUAUAUGUAUAAAAUAAAUAAAUAAUUAUAAAUAUCUAAUUUAAAAUACGGGUUCUCACAGUUCUAGCCAUAGCGGAAAAUUGUUGAGCUAUUUCAUCCUCAACUCUUGCCCCCUAUGACUACUGUUUGAUGUAUUACUUUCUGCAUUUUGUUGUUGUAAGGUAUUUGGUACUAAGAAAUACAUGUCAACAUCAUAACCACUUUCAUCCUCACAUUCAUUCUCAUUGACAUUGACAUAUUCAAGUCUAACUUCUUCCUUGUCAUCAACUUUACCAGCAUUUGCACCCACAACACGAUCUUUCACAUAAAUCUCUCCCAAAGUGUGGUAGUGCGGAAAAGCCUUAUCAUACAAUCCAUUUGCAUCCUUUUUACCCUACAAACGCAAAACCCAAAGCAUGAAAGAAAACUCUAAAAUAAAAUAGAAUCAUAUAAAUGCAAUCUCAAAUACCACAUUGAUUUCUAAGUAGGACUUAACAUAAAUCUAGUAUGUUUCUUAUUAAAAAUCGUGAUGUGCAUGCCAAACAUUUAAAACGACUGAUACAUUGUUGUUGCAUGAUGAUAAUAUUAUAUGUUCGAGAUGAUUUGUUUCAUGCACAUAGAAAAUAAGGGGAUGUUUGGUAAUUUAACCUCUCUCAAAUAUAAGUAAACAUGCACAAAAAGUCUUGCAAAUUAAUAGUUUAAAAGAUUUUGAGAUCGUCAAUAUAUAACUAUAUCAAUUAGCUUCAAGUGAUGAUUACUCACAAUAUUUUUAAAAAUUUAUAUAUAUCCAGUCAAAUUACUAUAUCAAUUGGUUUCAAGCGAUGAUUUAUGUAUAUGCAUACCCUUGUAGUUUCAUCAUACACACUUUUCUCACAAACAAACAUAAUUUUCUCUUUAUUCCCCUCAAAUCCACUAAGUGCUAGCAAUUCAGUUACGACAAAAUAUUUUGCCUUCAACGUCUUGAUUUGUGAUUGAAUGUAGGGAAACGCCUUUAAUCCACACCCUGGAAGUUUGGCUUCCAUCAUAGCUUCUAUCUUCUCCAAAUAACCAUUCUUGAAACUGGUGUUAGCUCGCCAAGUCGGGUCACUAUGCAAUUCAAGCAAUGACUCAACCAAUAUUGUCUCCUCAAUAGUUGUCCAAUAGUGUUUUUGUUGUCCCUUUCUCGUUUUGCAGAUGAAACAGGUGCCAUUCUACAUAACAAUAUUAGAAAUCAUAAGCAUUCCAAAUAAGUUUGAUUACAAACAAUGAUGUCUUUAUUAACUUAGAAACAAAUAAAUAAUUCCAAAUGUUAUUACACAAAUAGUAUUAGAAAUCAUAAUCAUUCCAAAUGAUUUUGAUUACAAAUAGUGAUAUUUUUCUUAACUUAGAAACAAAUAAAUCAUUCCAAAUGUUAUUACACAAAUAGUAUUGGAAAUCAUAAGCAUUCCAAAUGAUUUUGAUUACAAACAAUGAUGUCUUUCUUAACAUAGAAAUAAAUAAAGCAUUCCAAAUGUUAUUACCUAAACAAUGAUGUCCGUCUUAACUUAGAAACAAAAUAAGCAUUCCAAAUGUUAUUACAAAUGCUAUUACAAAACAUUAUAAUAGAAAAAGACAUACUAAUGCCUUCAUUAACUUAAAACAAAAGGACACAUGAAACACUAGUUUAAUGAACCGCCUUAGUGUUCCACAUUUCUUAUGCAAGGUUAUCCCUUCAUGCAGUCCAUUCAUCUUAGGACUCAACAAUGGUAAUGUAGUUAUUCGCAUCUGAAUUGCCAUCUUGGAAUUUCCCGUUUGCAUCAGCUUCUAUUAGAUCUACAACCAUCUCUCUUCUUAUAAAAAUUAUGGAUCAUACAACAUACUAAAAUUAUGGAUCAUACAACACACUAAAAUUAUAGGAUGAUGCGUUUAAUGUCAUAAAAGGAUGGACUCCUAAGAAUUCCCCAACACAUUUUAAAUAGCCCAAAACACCUUUCAAUGACAUUCUAGAACUUGUUUCAUAUUAAAAAACUUAGGGGGUGUUGUAGGACGAUAACCAUCUUUCCACUCAUUUAGAUGAUAACAUGUUUAUCUAUAAGAUGCAAAAAAAAAAAAAAAAAAAAAAACUUUUCCGUUUAUGUAGCCCCCAUCAACUAAAUAAUAACAACCUAUUGUGACAAAGAAUCUUUCCACUCAUUUAGAUGAUAACAUGUUUAUCUAUAAGAUGCAAAAAAAAAAAAAAAAAAAAAAAAAACCCAUCAACUAAAUAAUAACAACCUAUUGUGACAAAGAAUUAAAUUGUCAACCUUGCAACUCUAUAUCACGUGGAAUUCAAAAGCUAAGAAGUUUAAUUACUCAAAGUUGUGAAUGUUAUCAUUAGGGACUUAUAAUCCAUUUCUCCUAGUCACAACAUCUCUAAGGACUCGACCAUCAUGUGUGGACCCUUCCCAUCCAGGUAAAACAUAAAUAAACUGUAUGUCUGGAAUGUAGACUCCCAAAACAUUAGUUACUAUUUCAUUUUUCCUUAUUUUGUACUUUGGUUUAUCAGAUUUUGUAUAUGCACCUUAAUUAGUGUUCCAUCUAGCACACCUAAGCAAUUAUAUAGUAUAAUAGGCAACUAAAUUAACAAAUUAAACUAUAAAAUAUAAACUAGUAAUUACAAAAUAGUGUAGGCAUGUAAAUACUACAUACCUUAAACCAUUUCCACUUUGGGUCGGUUGAGUUCUCAGGAAUAAGCUCAGGUGUUUGCCAGAAAUCCUUUUGGCAUUGAAUCAUUGCUUUAAUACACUCAUGGAAAUACUUACUAAUUGUUCGACCAGACUUUCUAAAGUGGUGCUUAACCGUGCAAUUCUUAAGAUGAUGUGCAAGGUUGUAUAGAAACAAUGCAACCAUCUCCUCUAUAGACACAUUUCAAAUAGCUCGUAGUUGUUCUCUAGUCACAAGAACUUGACAUAAUCUAUGAAAGGAUCGUCUAUCAAUUCGUAGUUCAGCAGUACAUGUCAUAUCACUUUCAUAAAUUAAACUAUGCAAGUAUUCUAAUUACUUGUAAACUCUUAUAACUGUUUGAGAAUGUGAAGGACUUCUAAGGCGUUUUUUGAAACGAUAUCGAGAAUAGAAACAAGUAGUACUGGCAACAACUAUAGUUUGAAGAUAGACAAUCAACACAUCCAACACAUCAUGUAAUUCUUCUUUGUGACCAAACUUAAAUGAGACAUUUGUCUACAUGAUAUAACAAAGAAAAUAAAUGUCAUGAAGGACUUUAAUUUACAAGAUAAUUAACAUAUCACCAAAUUGAAUUAAAUUAAUAGUACAUGACACAUUCAGUUACAAUAAUUUAUUUAUUUUCCUCCAUACCUAGUCUCAAAAUAUACUUGCAAGCAGUGAAGAGAGCUCAGAGUGCCCACAAUCUUGUCCUCACUCUUCCUAAUUUCAUGAAGAUGGCGAAAUUUUGAUUAAUAAGCAUUUGAGCAUAAAGAAUUGGGGAUAAAUUAUCACUCUUCCUAAUCACUACGUGCAGGACAUGAACCAAUCUUAAUCGAAUUCAAUAUGGUCCUACCUUUUCUUUUACUCCCUAAGUUCAGUAAAUGAUGGUAUAUUUCGUAAUCGGAAUCAAAUGUCAUACACACCCUAAAUUUUUACUGAAAAUGUGAUUUGUGAAGACUUUGUUAUACUAACUGUAAACACGAAAUUUCUGUAAAGAAUGAAACUUGAACAUGUGUACAAAGUAAAUUUGUAUUGAUUUGAAUUUGUAGGUUACAAUCUCUAUUUACAAUUUUUCCUCUGAUUUAGUCUUCAAAUUUGAUAUAGAUACGUGAUUGUUGAUCUAAGGGUCGUGAUGACUUAAUCUCGGACGAACGGUUGAACAAUUGCUUCAAGUUUUGAGCUUGAAAAUAAUGCGUGGAUGAUCUUCACCUCAAGGGUGCGGCAAAGGAUAAUGCUUGAUGCGGGAUUUCGUUUCUUCAAGGGUCUUGGCGACUUGAUCUUGAAACGAACGUUGCUACAAGUUUAUAAGCUUGUAACAAAGUCUUGAAAGAAUCGUCACGAUCGCUUGUUGAUUCUUCAAGGUAAUGCUUCAACUUUGGUCAAGAGAAAGUUUCGGCUUUGGUUAAAUGUUCUUUGAAGAGAGCUUUGGUAGCGUAUUAGUCUUCAAAUGUUUGGCAGACAUUCUUCUGUGUAGAGAUUUUCCGACCCUUAUGCUUGUGGGAGGACUUGUAUUUAUAGGCUUCACAAAACUUGCCUUUAGGUGGAUUUGGCUUUUGAUUUAUGUCCUAAUUUAUCCAUGGGAGAAUUUAGGCAUGUUUUGUGUCUUAAUUCCCUUGCUUGGCCAAAUUUAAGAGCCAUUGUUGCCUAUUUUGCGAGCAAUAUUCAAUUCUUACUUGUUUUAUGAAGAUCAUUUAACUUUCUUUUCGGUUUUAGGAUCAAUUUGGACCAUUUUGCCAAAUUUAAAGGGAGAUUUCUCCCCUUUGCUGAAUUUUGGGAAUGUUUUGUACUUCAUUUUCUUUGAUUUGUGCCACAUGUCAUUGAUGAUUUGUCUAUUUGUGAUGAGUCAUAUGCCACGUGGAGUUUUCUGAUGCAUCAUUUGUAUGCAAAGAAAUUUACAUGUCUACACUAACACCUGAAAUUUAUCAUGUUUUUACUAAAGUCUCUUUAUUUGAGAAAUUAUACUAAUACCUAUUACGAUUUUAAUUCACAUUAGUAUUCACAUCAAAGAAAGAAUUACUCUUCUAAUUAAUUACUUAAAACUUAAAAAAACAUUUAUAAAUUAAAAAUUUUAAAAAUGAUAUUUUUUGGUUGAGUAAAAGUUACAUUAAAUAAUAAUAAAAAAAACCUUAUGAAAAAACUAGAAAGCCCUAAUUCAUUGUUGGAACCAAAGCUGCGCACAUCCACGGACGAAGGCGAAGUCUGAUGUGAUUUAUUCUAACACACAAAUUAAACCCUAUUAAGAUAGUUGUAGUAUAUGAAAGUAGGGAUCAUUCUAGGCCGGAUAUUAACUAGGGCUGCUAAUCUAUACAAAUAUGACUCAAAAACACAAAACUAGACUUAAAAACUCAAAACAAACUAAAAAGACUCAAAACAUCACAAAACAAUCAAAUAGACUCAAACUAGAUGCUAGAGUGUUAAUUGGACGAAAAUUGAUUUUAACUUGACUCAAAACACUAAAAACACAAAUUGGAUAGAUUCUAACUAACUUGACUCAACAAAGUAAAGGGGAUUGAGUUUUUGACGAAUUUAAAGUAAAACUAAACAAAAUUAAAGACUCGAAAUACUUUGGACGAAAUUGGUGAAUUAAAUGGGUGAAUGGCUAGUUAGAGGGUCCUUCUCCACACAUGACAUAUAUAGAAUGACGUGUAUAAGAGAAUAUGUGUAUGGUAGAGAAUAUCAACCCUCGUAUAGAGAAUGGUCGGAGACAAGUCCAAAUCCCCUGAUAAAUACUAAGCUAGAGUAUUUAAAGAGGUCUUGAGAGUCCUUGUAUGGAGAAUAAUCUUCAUUUAAGACCAAGUCUUUCAAAUUCACGUUAGUUUCUUCUCUCAACUAUUUGAUUACAGAAAUUAACUGGUCAUUGAAUCCAGAUUUCACAUAACCAUCAUCAUCAUAUGAUUUGCAUUGGUUGUGUUUGUUUUCGGUGCCACAAGGUGAAGAGCUCAGGAGGAGCUGCCAUCCUGUGAAAACUAACGAUAAGUCCAUCUCAUGUAAGACAAGGUUUCACAAAGGUAUAAGCUGCUCUAUACAUUAGGGUCUAGGAAUUGAACUUGUGUGGGUACUUUGUAUGAAUCUUGUUUACACUAGUGGAUUUGACUUGGUGGAGAGUCCCUAGUUUUUUAACCCAGAUGUGGGUUUUUCCGGCCAAAAAUUUCUUGUGUUGAAAGUCAUUUAUUACUUGUCACAUUUCUCACUUUUAUGUAAAUGCUACAUGUUUUCUUAACUUGCAAAUAUACAUGUGCUUUCAACUAAGUUUAUCAGAGUUUAAAUGUGUACUAAACUGAACCUUAGUUAACUAGGAUCAUGUUAGUAAAAUAGGUUUAAUUGUUUAUUCCUGCUUUUGGUAAACUAACAAAUCUAUUCUUACUUAAUUGGUGAUGUUGACUAGUUAGUCAAGCAUAUAUUGAAUUUCAAAUUACAGGAUAUUCUUUCUAGUACCAAUUUCAAGACUAAACAGAUCAUGAAGAAUAGUUAAGGAUAUGCAAAAGAGAUAGAGAUAAAAACCCUAAUUAAUGUGAUAGAACAAAAAAGAUAGGGAAAUCAAAACCUUGAGUUGAUAUUGAUUUUUUUGUUUGUUCUUCCUCCGUGCCAAGAAUGAUCGAUUGUGGAGAGGUUUGUGUGAAGAGAAAGUUUGAUCAGAAAAUGGGAAUGGAAGAAAAAAGUGGGUGGGGAUGAUUUCUGCUCAUAGUUUCUAAUAAAACGUGUAGUUUCAUUUCAGUUUCUUUUAUUUGGAACUUAGGGAAAAAAAAACUUCUUUUUCUAAAUGGCCUUGAAAGAAUGGGAGGGCAAAAAAAAAUUGGGCGUGGAAGAAGAAGGGACGGGGUUGAGGUUGAGUGGGAGACGUGCGUUAUUUUUAUUUUUCUUUUAAUGUUUUUUUCUUUUGAUUUUUUUAUAUUUCUUUUGAAAUAUUUAUUCAUACAUAAUUAAUUAAUUUAUUUUUAAUUUCGUAAUGGGUAGAGAGAUGACGGAAAUUAAUGAAGGGGAAAGGAAGAUAAGGUGGAAGAGAUGGGCACAGAGAGGAGAUAGAGAGCAAAGUGGAUUUAUCAAAUCUCAAAGAUAGUUUGAAAUUUAGCAAAAUUGUGGUGUCAUGCCUCCUUUAAUCUUUUUUUUUAAAUUAAGCAUGAAUGAUUAUACCACACCUUAUGUCCGUGAUAGAUAACAAAAAGGCAUUAUGGAUACUAACAAUAUUAACCAUGAUCAUUGCCCGUGGUGGCUUAGUAUAUUUACAACUUGCAACUUUGUGUGUCAUUUUUCACAACUAUUCUAAAUGGGUUAAAAUUUGUCUAUGGUAAAAAAAUUUGUUCACCAUAUAGUUAUUGUGCCCGUGGUAAAUUUGUACUUUUUAUAACAGACUCCUAAGGCCUGUGAUAAAAUUAUCGUGGUAGAUGAUCUACUAUUUUGUAGUGUUAGCACUUACUCUAUCAAACUUGUAGUUGUUGUAAUAGGUUUGAGCUUUAUAUAGAGAGGAAAUUAAUCAUUAUAUUUCCUUCUUUAUUUAUUUCUUUGGUGUGUGAGAGCUAUUGGGUAUAUUGGGGUUUUGGUUGUGAGAUUGUCAAACACUUUGUAUACACUCCCAUUUGGUUUAUAGUAAGGGUGGGUUAAAAAAAUUGAAAAUUGAAAAAAAGGGACCGGAACCGAAACAAGGCCGAAAAAAAUCGAACCGAACCGAUGCUAAAGGUCGAAGAUGAAUCUAUUUCCCUUGUAUUGGACUGCUCUUUCCCAGAAAAAAAACGAGCAUUGUACAGGGAUCUCAAUUUCUUUAGGCAAAAUUAAAAAGAGACUAAUUAGUCAUCGAGUAGACACAAAGUCGGAACAUAAGUAAAACCUUCAUCUUCUAUUGCAUGACUGGUUUGUGUGCUAUAAGUCUUGAAGCAUUCUUUUGCAAAAUUAUUGGAUGGGUGCUUUGGUCUCUUUUGUUUAUGAUGAAUUUGCCCUUCAUUGUUGUUCAAAUGACUUGUUUCCAAUACAAGAAUCUUGAGAAAUUAUUAUAUGAUUCAUUUGAAAAAUUAUGUAUAUAUUUGUAAAGGAUCAAAUUUGUUGUUUUGACCUUACUUUGAAAAGGUGAAGAGAAAAAUGCUGCUAGUAAUGGCAUGCUUGUAAUUGUAUAAUUUUUUUGCUUAUUUACUUAUAAAAAUAAUGGAAUUUCCCCUCUUAGGUUUGUGACUUAUUGCAAUCUUAUACAACAUUUUCAAAACAAUUCACUCCAUACAUCAUUUGCUAUUUUAUUUCAAUAUAAUACCUUCGUUGGAUUUUCCAUCCAUUUGUUCAUUAAAAGCUGAUGUGACUCACCACGGGGCUCAAUUUUCCCUCCAAAACAUAAACACAUAGACAUCAUGCUGCCACAUCAAUCAACUCCCCAAAAAGUGCCACGUGGCCCAAAAUUCAAAAUUUCCACUCAAAUUUUUGAUCUAAAAUUCCCAUCCAAAAUUAUGUGUUUUUGAAUUUCAUAUUUGUUUAUGGUUUUUGCUGGCAAAAAUAUGCAGAAAGACAUAUGUCCUCAAAAUGAGACCUGCUAAUCAACGAAUGGGCAGAAAUGCAUCUAAUAUCCAAAUAGACAACUAAAUUAGCAUUUAUAUCACGAGAGUUCAACUGAAAAUAACAAGCAUGUUCCAAAAAUUGGCAACCAAAGCUAACAUGUGGUAGUUUGACUGGAAAUAACAAGCAUGUUCCCAAAAAAUAUAUUCAGCGAGUACCUAAGCAAAAUGAUAGUUCCUAAAAAGUUGCAAACAAUGUUGUGGAUGCAAAUUUUCUCCUCUUCGAUCUUGGACGAUUUUGCACCUACAAAACAACUAGCACCUUAGGUUAAGGCCAAAAGCCUCACGCGCCCACGAUGAAUGGGGGGGGCUUUGGCCGAAGAACCUCCGAUGCCAAAGUUAGAAUUUUAGAGAGAAAUAGUGUUUAGAAUAUUUGGGAUUUUUUGUAAGAGAAUUGGAACUAGUGUUUUGUGAAAAUGGGACCCAAUUUAUAGGAGAGGAAAUGGUGAUUUAUUUUGGGGGGUUAUGGAGAUAAUGAGCUAGUUAUUUUGGGGAGUUAUGGAAAUAAUUGGCUAGUUAAUUAGCAAAUAGUAAUAACCUAAUUAACUAGCUAUUUGAAUGUCAUAAAAAGGGGGAGAAAAUGGCAGCAACAAACAGAAAAUAAAGGGCAUGGCCGGCCCUAGUGGGUUUUUGGUUAUAAUUUGGAGGUUUAGUUGAUAAUUAAGGGAUUGAUUAGGUAAUUAGUCAAUUUUAGGAAAUAUGAAAGGAAUAAGUAUAUUAUUUAGCUAAUUGAUUAGCUAAAUAAUGAAAUGGGAAAUAUAUGAAUAAAUUAGGUUUUAAGUUGAUACCUAUUUUGGGCACUUUUGACUUGGUUGAAGGAUAAUUGUCUGCUGAUUGCACGUAGGAAUCCCGGUAUAUACCUCAAGGGUAGUUUUUGUCUUUUUUUUGUCAAAAAUCCACGUGUCGCCUUGUGAUUAUUUUUGGCUCCACAAAUGCCCCCACACCUGUUGGGCUGCUUGUAGGAAAGGGCAACAGGUGUAGAGAUUUUCUUGCUUUAGGAAACUUAAGACUGUUUCCUAUUUUGAUGUUGAUUCUCUCUUUAAAUGGAAAUUAGAUCCUUCUAGGAAAGGGAAAUAAAUUUCUCUCAAAGCCUAUUUAAUUCCACCUUAAGUGGGUUAUUAAAUCAACUUUGGAGAGCGAUUUAUUUUACCCAACAAGAGAGAGCAAGUUAGAGGAUAUUUGUUCCCCCUCCUCUAGCAAUCUUCUACAUCUUGCCCGUGCAAAGGACCGUCUUUCGUUGAUUUCUUCGUCUUCUCCGUGCCGCACCGAUGUAAGAAAAAUUUAAUUUUUCUUGCCUUCUUCUUGGAUAGUGCUAUUGCAGGGCAACCGUCGGGGUGGUGCGGCACGUCGGCUGGCAGGGGCCAAGAGUUGGCUUGGCAUGGGUUGAGGAGAUGUCAUGGCAGGGACCACUGCUUGGGUAGAUUGGCUUGGCUUGAGCCAAGGGCAGCUUGUGCAGCUGGGGUCGAGGAUUGUGGCACUGGGGCGCUGUGCUAGGCGAGCCGCAUGGCUCAUGUCCUUUGGGCUCUUGGACCUGACUCAGGCCAGGCUGGCGAUUGAGAGAAAUAAGGAGAUUGCGGGUCUCAUGGGCUACUGGAAUGUUGGGCAUGUAGGCCUCCUGCCUGCUGGAAUGCUGGGUUGAGCUCCCCUGCUGAGUACCAUGAAUGUCGUUGGUUGCUUAGUCCUCUUUGCUGAAAGAAAUGUGGGCUGCUCCAGAAAGAGGAGGUAAAGAGGAUCAAGGCGGAUGCAUUGGCUCGUCUGAUCGCUGUCGUGGAGCUUACUAUGAAUGAAGAUGGAAAGAAGAGAUCUUCCCCGCCUGCUCAUGAGAUGCCAGUUAAGAAAAAACUAAAGACUUCUUCUGCUGCUCAUGAGGGUCCGCUUGCUACCGAAAGGUAUGUGAUUGACAUGACUUCUUCCAAUGGGAAGAAAAAUAAGGCUGCUAGAUCUGAGCAUGUGGCGUCUUCCAUGUUGAGAAAGGCUAGUACAAUUGUGGAUAAGAUUGUUCAGCGUAAAGGUUUUAUCAUGCCCCCACUGCCGAAGUCUGUACCAGGAUGUUCUUUGGGAGCCAAGUCCAGUUCACCUUUGUAGAGACUUGCUAUUAUGAAGAGUGGUAAGGUGGACUCUGCUGCUAAAGUGGCGCCAAAGCCUGCUCCCUUUGCUGCUGAGAUUGAUUCACCUCAGAUUCAAGAUCGUAAGCUUGCAAUUUCUGAGCUUCGUUUUGCUGCUUAUGCUAAGAAGGGAGUGGAUGAGCUUCUCUAUUUCUCCAGAAGACUUGCUUGCUUUUAUUUUAAGGCUUCCAUUGGUGAAGUAGUUGGAGAAGUUAGUGCCCAGACUAGGGCAGCCGGGGGUGAAGCGCCUGAUGAAGGUGUGGCGACUGAGUAGUCAUGGGAUGUCUAAGCUGAUGUAGUGUAGUAUUUUAGGUAGUCUUUAGGAUUUUCUUUGUUUUUCCUUGUAGCUCUUGUUUUGCUUGAACUCCUUCGGCCUUUGCUAGUUGUUUAUAAACAUGUUUUCCUUCGUUUUUCUUCAUCUUCACUUCUUUUGUUCAUGCCCUAACCUUUAGACUUGAUAGACCAGUGGCAGGCAUGCUACUUUUUUAUAAGCAGACAAGCUCGCGUAGCCUAUGCAGCCGUAGGUAUUGGUGUAGAACUUUGCAAAGUUGUUAGCCAUAGGGUUGGCAGCCGGAUGCCUUACUUACAGAAGCAGACAAGUCCGCGUAACCACUAGGUUGUUAACCUUGACUUUCUUCAAUUCCGUAGGUUGCGUAACAAGUAUCACAACACUUUAGGACUUGGUGUAGGUUGUUCCGCGCUUGGCAGAGGUGAAGCUUAUCGACUACAUAGCAUGUCGGCAGUGGAUAAAACUUCGUAUAUGCGCGCUAGCUUGUUUAACCUUUCAUAAGAAUGUGCAGUUGCCUAAGUCUAGCGCGGCUUUACUGCUCGAAGGGCAAGCCGUAGGCAGUCUUCCGGAAUCCGUAGGCUACCUUAGUGCACUCGGUAACAGCUUUAGGAUUCCAGGGCAGCCGUCCAUCGAAUGUACUGCGUAAUGUGCCCUCUCUGUCUCUAGGGCCCGGUUCCCCACGGAUUAGGCCAAGAGACCCAAAAUCCUUCAGUUAGCUAAGCCUUGAAAAAGACCAUUGCGGCUACUUUUAGGAAUCCCGGCGCAAGCCAUCGUGCAUCUAGUUAUACUAGGGCAGCCAGGUUCAUCCACGUCUGGAUAUUCGGAGUGUAAAGUUUAUCCUCCCGUCUUGGAGAGCUGACCCAUAUGGGUGUCGGGGAAUUGGUUUAUCCUCUCGCACUGGAGAGCAAUUAGUUUACCCUCUCGCACUGGAGAGCAUGGUUGGUCCCUCGGGGGGGCGCAAUUCCUGCGAUGGGUCCCUAAGAAGGGCGCAAUAUUCUUUUGAAGUGCCGGAGUGAUCAGUUGUUAUAAGCAUGCAGCCGAGCCAAGUUGUGAUUACUUCUGAAUUCCUCAUUGAAAAACGAGUGAAACGAACAAGAACUUAGCUGUAAGGUAGGAACUGUAUAACAACUGGAUAGUCCUUGACUUGUGAGGUGGUGCCCGUCGAGCUUCUUGAGUCUUCGGGCUUUGAUGUAGUAGGAGGUCACACAUGGUACUUCUUCAGAUUGUAGGCGCUCCACUACUUUUCGAUCUUUUUAUCGUUUCAUGGUAGCGGGGGUAUAAUUACUCUUACCGCCUAUUCUGCUGAGCUUGUACAGACCUUCCCAGAUGAGAUCCAUCUUUUUGGAUGUUUCGGCCUGCCUAUUGCCGUGAGGAUAUCUCGGCAUGGACAUAUGCUGCUUGAUGCCAUAUUUUUGGAAGAACUUCGCCAAAUCUUUACCCACGAAUUGCAGGCCGUUGUUGGUGACGAUGGAUUAAGGGAUGCCAAAUCGGUAAAUGAUGUUCCUCCAUAUGAAGCGCUCUAUGUCCGUCUGAAUUGUGGUCGUCAUGGGCUCUGCUUCCACUUAUUUGGUGAAGUAGUCGGUUGCCACGAACCACGGCUGCUCGCGAGCCUUUGUAGUUGGAUGCGCCGUUGACAUGUGAAUGCCAAAAAUCUCCAUUGAGGGAAUAUGUGCGGCUAAAGUGUGAUCGACUGCCUUCAGGGCAUCGUUGGGCCGAGUUGUUACGUUCGUCAGAAAACUUUGCAUCUGCCAGGGUCUACGCCUUUAUCGUCGCCGGUUUAGAUUCGGCAAAAUAGUGCGUCAUGAUGAUGACUGCAGGUAACUGUAGAAUACAGGUAGUCGGGCCCCCAGCUCUUCUCGCAUGAUGGUAGAGCUUAUUGCUACUUUAGAUACCGUCAAACAUGCGAAUAAGUCAUCCGCUGCUUCUAGGGAGGUGAUGUCGGGUACUUCUUCAAGUCCUUGAAUAUGCAUUGGCGAGCCUCAUCCCAAAGUGCAUGCUUCUCUGCUAAAGCAAAAGAGUCUGCCAGAGUUAGAUCUUCUUUCAUGAUCAAUUUUCCGAAUAGCGGGUGGUCUGCUGGAAGUCCUUUUUGGAAGGCUGCUCUAGCUAUCGAGUCGUUGCAUCCGACUAUUUUUGCUUUCUCUACUUUGAACCUCCUCACAUAGUCGCGAAGCGACUCCUUUGGGUUCUUCUUGACGUCGAACAAAUGGUCAGACUUCUUUUUGAUCGAGCGAUAGGAUGAAUAUUCUUUGGUGAAAACCAAAGAACGUUCGUAGAAAUUCCGGAUGGAUUGUGGCGGCAGGGUGUAGAACCAAUCUUGCGCCUCGCCUUGUAGAGUGGUGGCGAAUAUCUUGCACAUGAGAUCAUCGUUGUUUUGAUAAAGGAUCAUUACACUUUGGUAACGUUUUAAGUGUCUCUCCGGGUCUUCAUCCCCUUUGAAAGAUGUGAAAUGUGGCAUGCUGAACUCGCGUGGAGGCUCUGCCUGCUCGAUCUCCUCCGUGAAAGGUGACCUGCUUAUGUUGGUUAUGUUCCGUCGUAGUGCCUCGUCGGUGACCUCGUUGCGUUGGAAAUCAUGUAAUCGCUUGGUCAAGAGUCUCUCUACUUCUUCCUGAAUUUGCCUUUGUUGGGGUAGCGGAGCUCUCGGCUGCCCCCAGUCAUGACUUGCUGGUCUAGGCUGCUCUUCCAUGUGUUUGGCUCGUCUAUGCCGCGGAUGCAGUGCAUGUGGUGCGUUCCUAGUAGGCGAGCGAGUUUUUCGCAGGCUGCUGGUUGAACUUGAGCUGGAUUGAGUGACUCCUUCUCUCCAUCCGUCGUGCUGCCUACUCUGAUGUGAGGUGGAUGACGCUCCUUGUGGGCUUAGCUGCGAAUAGACACUUUGCCCGGAAGGUUGUUCAUGUUGACUAUCGGAGUAUGACCCCAACCGUGAAUGUAUGUUUCUCCGUGGGCCUAGUCGAGAGUGUAUGCUCCUUCGCGCUCUAAGACGGGAAUGUACACUGCCCAAACGUUCGGCUAGUGGCUGGUCGAGUGGCUGCUUGCCGGGACGCUGCUGGAAAUGUCCGUCUGCACGUUGGAUCCCGAUGCGUUGCAAAAGUUGAUUCACCAAGGUUGUCUGUUGUGCAAGGGCGCUCGUCAACUCUAUGACUUGUCGAGACAAGUGUUGUUCGCCAUUUGGAUUGGAAGAGCUUAGAAGGAAUGCGCCUCCUUGGGCAGUGGAAGAGUGGUAGACUUUAGGCGCGAGAUUUGAGUUGGGAAAUGUCAAAUCCGUGAAAAAAUAUGGUGAGAAUGCUCCCGGCUCGAUAGUAGGUCCAGAUGGUUGAGAUAGUCUUGGGCCGACUUGGGCUGCUUGGAAAGCCACGGGAGUAGUCUGGGCCUUGAGAGUGGGCUGCUCGUCGGGAGCCGGCUGGGUCACGAGAGCAGACUGCUUGGCAGGAGUAGGUUGGGCCGUGAGAGUGGGCUGUUCGACGGAAGCAGGCUGAACCAUGGGAGUAGGCUGCUCGUCGGGAGCAGGCUGGGCCACGAGAGCAAGCUGCUUGGUAGGAGCAGGCUGGGCCACGGGAGUGGGCUGCUCGACGGAAGCAAGCUGGGCCACGGGAGUGGGCUGCUCGAUGGAAGCAAGCUGGGUCACGAGAGCAGGCUGCUUGGCAGGAGCAGGUUGGGCCGUGAGAGUGGGCUGCUCGACGGAAGCAGGCUGGACCACGGGAAUGGGCUGCUCGUCGGGAGCAAGCUGGGUCACGAGAGCAAGCUGCUUAGCAUGAGCAGGCUGGGCCGCGAUAGCAGGUUGCUUGGCAGGAGCAGGCUGGGCCAUGGAAGUGGGCUGCUCGACGGAAGCAGGCUGGACCACGGGAGUGGGCUGCUUGUCGGGAGCAGGCUGGACCACGGGAGUGGGCUGCUCGUCGGGAGCAGGCUGGGUCAUGAGAGCAGGUUGGGCCACGGGAGUGGGCUGUUCGACGGAAGCAGGCUGCUCAAUGCGCGGUGCAUAUGAAUGCGAGGCUUGGGCUUGGGUCCACGUAAACUUGGAUGGCACGGCUUGGGUCGUGGUCUUGGUACCGUGAGCCUUGGAUGGCACGGCUCGGGCCGUGGUGAAAGCUCCAUGGACCUCGCCACGAAUGGCUACCGAAGUAGCCACCGCGGUGGUUCCCAUGGUGGCCGUGGUGAAGGCACCAUGGACCUCGCCGAGGUAGCCACCGCGGUGGUUCCCAUGGUGGAAACUCGUGGUGGUGAUGCCGCUCCCCUUAUUGUCGCAUUUUGCCUCACGGAUCUCCGCAAUCCCAUUUCUUGUAUAUUAGAAUUUUCACUUAUGGAAUUUUCUAAAUUUCUAGCCAUUAUAUUUUGCUUAUACGUUUUAUCAAAGAACCUUUGCAAGUAAAAAAUUCUAAUAAUAAGAACGUAUGAAAAAUAUUCAAAUGGACUAGAAAAUAAAGAAAAAACCUUUUUGUGCGAAAGUCUUCUACGAGUAUGGAUUUCAACUCUCAAUGAAAGCACCAAUUUGUGGAUGCAAAUUUUCUCCUCUUCGAUCUUGGACGAUUUUGCACCUACAAAACAACUAGCACUUUAGGUUAAGGCCAAGAGCCUCACGCGCCUACGAUGAAUGGGGGGGCUUUGGCCGAAGAACCUCCGAUGCCAAAGUUAGAAUUUUAGAGAGAAAUAGUGUUUAGAAUAUUUGGGAUUUUUUGUAAGAGAAUUGGAACUUGUGUUUUGUGAAAAUGGGACCCAAUUUAUAGGAGAGGAAAUGGUGAUUUAUUUUGGGGGGUUAUGGAGAUAAUGGGCUAGUUAUUUUGGGGAGUUAUGGAAAUAAUUGGCUAGUUAAUUAGCAAAUAGUAAUAACCUAAUUAACUAGCUAUUUGAAUGUCAUAAAAAGGGGGAGAAAAUGGCAGCAACAAACAGAAAAUAAAGGGCAUGGCCGGCCCUAGUGGGUUUUUGGUUAUAAUUUGGAGGUUUAGUUGAUAAUUAAGGGAUUGAUUAGGUAAUUAGUCAAUUUUAGGAAAUAUGAAAGGAAUAAGUAUAUUAUUUAGCUAAUUGAUUAGCUAAAUAAUGAAAUGGGAAAUAUAUGAAUAAAUUAGGUUUUAAGUUGAUACCUAUUUUGGGCACUUUUGACUUGGUUGAAGGAUAAUUGUCUGCUGAUUGCACGUAGGAAUCCCGGUAUACCUCAAGGGUAGUUUUGUCUUUUUUUUUUUGUCAAAAAUCCACGUGUCGCCUUGUGAUUAUUUUUGGCUCCACAAAUGUCCUAUCUGCUGCCAACGUUUCAUAAAAAUUCCAUCCAAUGUUGAGUACAACAACAUCCACAUCAACAAAAACAUUCAAGGUUCUGUAUACAAAAAAAUCCCUAAAUCAUCAUCAUAUAAGCCACAAGUUGAUUUAUAAACCCUAACACAAUAAAACAAAUGGAGCAGUUCUUAACUUGGGUACACCACCUCGAUUACUGGAUGUAGCUUCUUGUGCAGAACUUGAUGCCUAAAACAAAUAAAAGGAUUUCAGGAUUUACGAAGUGUUAAAUCAAUUUAGAAAUCAUAUAACUAUGUAAAUGGUUAUAUUCCACCUCAUGUCUUGUAGGAAGAUGCAUGUGACAAGUCCUGGUACUGUGACCCUCUUCUUUACAUAUCCUACAUUUGAGGGUCCUUUGGCCAUUUCUUGAGAGCUAUUGUGGCUGUGGAAUCUCCACUUCUGUUAGUGGCUUCAUUUUGUGUAGAAUCAACUUCUUUUGCCCAUUUUGCAACCUUUUUGUUUCUCUUCUUCUUGCGUUUUCUAGGUUGUCUAGUAUAUAGAGGAGGCUAGAUAGGUGGAUUUUCAGUGACUUCCCACAUAGACAUCCCAUUCAUUGGCUGGAUGAAGUGAGAAUAUAUUUCCAAGUACAUGGACUUGGAAUAACAUCUAAUCCACACAGUUCUCUGGCUUCUUUCUCUUAUAAUUAAUGGCAGCAAUAACAUGGUUGCAUGGUAUGCAUGUGAGGUCAUAUUUUCAACAUAAACAUGUAUGUUUAGUCAAAUCACCAACAUAUUGGUCACAUUUGCCAGCAUCCACUUAGAAUUUUGUCUUAUAAGACCAUUGAGCAAUACAUUGAACACACUCCAUCUUUCAUCCUCCAACUUCUUCUUAAUCUUGGGGCACAAAACUUUAUGUUGUCUUCCCAUAACAUCUUGUUUUAUUUGAAUUAUUUUCAUCAAACAUGGAUAUGAAUGAUUUGAAGCAUGGUUACAAUUGGAUUGGACCUUGCCUUCACUAUCACAACAUUGAAACUUUCACACAAGUUGUUAACCAACAUUUCACACUUGGUAAAAGUUAAAAAAUGAGACAUACUCCAAUGAAUGACAUGCAUCUUUAUGAGCCAGUCAAAUGCAUUUUUGUUAAACAAUCUAAGUGUCUUCAUGACUCUUUUGAAGUGCGGAAUUAUGUUGGUCUUGGCAGCAGCCCAUCAAGCAUCUUUCAAUGCCUUGCCUUUAAAUUGAUCUUUAUAGCUUGUAUACAGAUGCCGCACACAAAACUUAUAGUGACCAUUAAGAAGAACCUUCAAGAAUGUAGGAAUUAAACCCUUAUCCAUGAAUGUUGAUUUACAAUAAAGGUCCAACCAUGUUGAUUUACAAUUUUAAUGUUCUCUGCUAAAAUGUUUGAAAACCAAAUCCAUGAAUCCUUGCUCUCCAUCUCAACAACUGCAUAAGGUAUCACCCAAGUCUCAUCAUGGAACAUUGGGAUCUAUCCCCACAACAAUAUGCUAAGACUUUAAAUGACAACCAUCUAAACCAACCAAAGGUCUACAAUCAGCUCUAAAUUCUUCCUUGCAUGCAUCCAAAUGCACAUACAUCUUUUAAAACCUUCCUUCAUUCAGUAUAAUUUUCACGGUGCUCCCUGGGGUUGUCUUCUUGCUUUCGUUAACAAAAUCCUAUAAUUUAGUGCAUUGCUUAGCAUGUUUACCCAUAAUAAUCUUCAACGCAGUAGUCAUUGCCCUAUAGGCUUUCAUCUUUUAGCAACCAUGUUUUAAUUCAGCUCCAAUUCCACAAAAGAAUCAACAGGCCUUAUUGGAUUAAGCUGGAUCCUUUCGAAGUAUAUUUCACUAAGCCAAGCUUGUUUCAUAUUCUUAUUGACCCACAAUCUACUAUAUGUUUGAAAAUCCAACAAUUUCUUCAUUUGCAUGUUGUUUGAAUUAUACAUAUUUCCACAUUUAACAAACCAAAGACAUCAUUCUUUGCAAACUACAUCAACCUUAAACCUCUCAUUUUGUGGAAAAUAGACAUCCCCAUACGUGCAUUACUAUUGCCCUACGAAACUGUGCAACAUCCCUAAAUAUCAACCCUAUUGACAGAUGUGGGUUCUUCAUGUCAGUCUUCUCGUUAAACUCAUGAUAUAGCUCAUUAUUGUUUUGAUAACCAUCUCUAUCUUCAUGGACACUCCGAAUGCUAUCUAAAUUGUAGUCUGGCUUAUUAACAUCUACAUCAAUCUCUUGUUCAAAAAUCAUUUGCUGCUCAAAUCCCUCCCCUUGUUGAUUAUCUUGUGCCCUAAUGCUAGCCAACACUUCAUCUCCAUGGAAUUCAUCUUCCAAAAAGCCACCAUCAAUUCAUCUUCAGCUAUUCAACACAGGACAAUGCAUCUCUAGCUUCAUCAACAUUAAGAUCACCGAACCCUAAUGAAUCAAGGCCUUUUUAUAGCUUAUCAAAAGCCAUUCCUUCAUUUGUUCCACUUUCAAAUAGCAAAGGUUCGGAUUUGGCUCACUUUGAAAAUAUACCAUCUAAUUCACAGAUUGGUAAGGCACAUUAUAAUCAUCACCAAGCCCACUUAUUGGAUAUUCAAUGGCUAGCUUGCCCUUUCCUAUAUUAACUUACACUAGCCUCUUUUGGUCAUCCUCAUCACCAUUAAUUUCUUGAAUAACGACACUGGUUUGAGUAACCGGUUCAAUUGACUUAAUAAAAUUUAUCUCUUGAGAGGCACAUUCUUCAGGUAUUAUUUUCUUAAUGUAGACAUCAAUCAUCAUGUGUUUUGGCACAAAUUUGCACGUAUUGAUCACAUAAGAAUCAAUCUUCAAUGGCUUCAACCCAUUUUGAAUCUCCAUCCCUGAGAACCUAUAGUGGUAGCUCAUGAACAAAUUUCCAUAUCCUAGUUCCUCAACUAUAUUAUGAACCUCUAACAAUGACAUCAAGUCUUUGUCACAAAAGAAAAAAAAUCAACCUUGCCUUUGACAUAGAAGUCAUCACUAAGCUCCCCGCCAUGAUACAUUUUAAUUGUGAAAAUUUCGUCAUCUCCUGAAAUUCUAGCAUAAAAAAAAACCCUAAUUAAAUUGAUGAAAACCCAUACUUCAGAACCACAAAGCAUAAAUUUCAAGACCACAAAGCUCAAAAAAAGAUAGAGAUUACCAUAAACAAACAUUAGCCACAAGCAUUUUUCUGGCAGGAUCAAACAAAAACUCAUAUGUACUUAUAUGAGCGUGCAACACAUGUCAUAUUUUUCAUUGAUCUAAACCUAAUUAAUGGAAAUAUUGUAUUGAUUAAGUUUAGAAUAAAAAUUGGCCAUUAAUAAAUGGCUAAUUAGUAAAAUUUUCAUUGAUUUAUGGCUAAAAAACCUAAAUUGUUUCUAGUUUAUGGAGCUAGGAUAUAUGAUUUCGAAGAACCCCUUUGGUGGCACAAGCAAAGUUACCUUCUUUUCUCAAAUAAUUCCGAUGAAAAUUGAUUGGGUUGCGAUUUUCGCAUCCUAACAUCGUUUUUGAGCGGGAUGACGAAAGCCUUCUAAAAGAAGGAUGUCUUUGACACUGUUCUCAUAGCAAAAAUAACUCUGUCUUUAGCCAUCUACAUUCAAAAUUGAAUAUGUUGAAAUAUUUUCUGCAAUCAUACGAAAGUGUGUAUGACAAUUGAAGAAUUCUAAUCACUACCAAUCUAAUAAACCCGGUGGACAUCGACAUUGCUUAUUUUUGAACUGAAAAAUCUUGUUGAAUGAUUGACCAGCAAAAGAAACGUCAUUAAAUGAACGAAUGUAGUAAGAAACCAAAAAAAUAAAACAGAAAACACCCAAAAAAAGGGCCCAACCGGGUUCGAACCGGUGACCUCUUGAUCUGCAGUCAAAUGCUCUACCACUGAGCUAUGGACCCAAUCGUUAACAACAGUUCUUUUUGUAGAUUAUAUAUAGGGUUCAUCAUUAGGUUCUGGGUUCUAAGGGCUUCGACAGAUCAAAUUGUUUUUUAUUUUUUUAUUUUUUUUAUUUUUUAAUAUAAUGAAUUACAUCUAUUCAAUUGGUAUUGUAGCAACCAACUUAUAAUGUUCCUAUGUUAUAAGUUAUAUGACUCCUAUCCAAGGAAGAAAAUAUCGGUAAUAUCGGAAAUAUCGGAAAUAUCGGUAGUCCGAAAACAUGGAAAUAUCGAUGGAAAUAUCGGGAUAAUAUCGAUAUCGAUAAAAAUUACAUGGAAACCACGGAAAUUGUAAGAAAAACUUGGAAAUUUUUAAUGAAACUUUGUAGGAUGUUUAUUUAGUCAAUUAUCUAUUAGUUUAUCACAAAAAAUUGGAAGGAAAUGCAUUGCAUGAUGGAUUUAACUGAUUUAAGUUGAUUAUAUAGCGAGCUGGCAAACAUUGUGAGUGUAGAAAAUAUGUAGUAAUUAAUGAAAGAAGUUUAACACACCAUAAUCAUUUAUACAUAAUUAAUUAGUACAAUAUUUGGAGGUUUUAUUUAGGAUAUUAAAAAAAAAAAGGGAAGUGAAUAAAAUGAUGAAGAAUAAUAUGCCGAAUUUGACACUUUAAAUUUCUUACACAUAAGAAUAAGACUAAACUUUAAUUUGGAUGCCGAUUAUGUUUUUUCAAGUUUAUAUAAAGUAAAAGAAUUGAAUUUUGGAAGCCAGGAGUGUGUCAAUUGAAUUUUGGCCGGCAUGCAAGGUAUCAAUCUCUUCGUCUCAUCGAGUAGUACAACUUUCCUUUUUGUUUCACUCAAUUUCGUUGAGUAUUGAAAAAGUUAUACUCAUUUGAAUCUUACCCAGUUUCCGGCGACCUCAGUGGCUUUCGAGGCAAUUUCCGGCCAAACCACAACUAGUCAGACAUCGUGUAAGGUACCAUUCUCUUCGUCUCGAUUUGAGGGAUACAACUUUCCUUUUUGUUUCACUCAAUUUCGUUGCGUAUUGAAAAAGUUAUACUCAUUUGAAUCUUACCCAAUUUCCGGCGACCUCAGUGGCUUUCGAGGCAAUGUCCGGCCAAACCACGACGAUUCAGACGUCGUGUAAGGUACCAUUCUCUUCGUCUAUUCGAGGGCUACAACUUUCGUUUUUGUCUUGCUUGAUUUCGUUGAGUUUUGACAAAGUUAUGGCCGUUUAAAGUGGGUGUAAAUUUUCGGCCGAAAUUCUGAUUUUCUCCUAUUGGGAGAGUCCCACAUCGCCCAUGCUUGCUCACUGCCCUCGCAAUUUGUCCUAUAAAACCCACAUUCCCCUGCUCAAUAAGCCAUAUCUUGUUCGCCCUUUGGGCUAUGAUCAAAUGAAGUAUGUGUUGAGUUUUCUCAACAUAUUUAAGUAUUUUUUAGUAUUAUGUGGUGAUAUUAUCGAUAAUUUCAAAAAUAUUGCGAUAUUAUCGAUAUUAUCGAUAAUAUCCCGAUAUUUUGAUGAAAAUCAUUUGGAUAGUUAAAAAAAUAUCGGAUCUCCAAAAAAACGAUAAUAUCGGCGAUAUUUUGCCGAUAUUAUCGAUUUUUUCUUCCAUGCUCCUAUCCAAUAAAAAAAACAAAAAAAAAACUUAUAUAUGAGUUUAAAAUUCAGAUGCAAUGAAGAGGUGAAAUGUAAUGUUUGAACUCAAAAUUAAAUUUGAAAUUAACUUUUCAAUGUGUCGGAAGUGGUCUCAACAUUAUAAGCCAAAGCAACAAGUCACUCAAUUUAGUGUCAUAAAAAUAUAAUUCGUAAUUAUGAGACAGAAAUUUAUUGUUUUUCUCUCUUAUAAAAACUCAUAAAAAUCACAGCAAUCACAUAUUCACAACAUAAUUGAACCCAAAUCCCACGAAUGGAAAGGCUUUCGUUAUUGAUAAAAAAAAAAAAGAAGGAAAAAUUAAGAUAGAACAAGCACAAGUUAUUGAGCCCAAUACGUAAUUCAGUUUAUUUUCUUCCUUCCCAAGCAACCUAAAAUUGGAAAAAUCCCAAUUCUCAAUCCUCCAGCUCUUCCUCCUCAUACUCUCCCUCAUCUUGUGCCACAGCAUCUUGGUACUGCUGAUACUCAGAAACCAAGUCAUUCAUGUUGCUCUCAGCCUCAGUGAACUCCAUCUCAUCCAUGCCCUCACCUGUGUACCAGUGCAAGAAGGCCUUCCUCCUAAACAUAACCGUGAACUGCUCCGAAACCCGCCUAAACAUCUCUUGAAUUGACGUUGAAUUCCCCAUGAAUGUGGAGGACAUGGCGAGCCCGGUUGGUGGAAUGUCACAAACACUUGAUUUCACAUUGUUUGGAAUCCACUCCACAAAGAAUGAGGAGUUCUUGUUUUGUAUGUUGAUCAUUUGCUCGUCCACUUCUUUUGUGCUCAUUUUUCCACGGAACACGGCCGAUGCUGUCAGGUAUCGACCGUGGCGUGGAUCUGCGGCGCACAUCAUAUUCUUAGCGUCCCACAUUUGUUGAGUGAGCUCAGGGAUUGUGAGGGCUCUGUAGAAUUGGGAGCCGCGAGAGGUCAAGGGUGCGAAACCAACCAUGAAAAAGUGGAGGCGGGGGAAAGGGAUGAGAUUCACAGCUAGUUUUCGAAGGUCGGAGUUGAGCUGGCCCGGGAAGCGAAGGCAGCAUGUGACUCCACUCAUGGUUGUGGAAAUCAAAUGAUUCAAAUCACCGACUGUAGCAUGUAUAAUGCAAAUGGACUUUUUAGUAUUUAGAAGUGCAAUAACGAAAUGAUAAUGUUUUUUGUUUCUUAGAUGACAAGUUAUGUUAUCAAACUUCCAAUAUGGACCUUAAUAUUGACAACUCAAUAACAUAGCAUGUCAGACUAUCUGAAAAGAGAACAUGUGAAUGCAUGUUAAGUUGUCACACUCUUAACUUAGGUCAAAUGUUUAAAUAAACUCAUGUAAUCAAAUGAUUCAAACAACUCUAAUUCGACAACGCAACAUAUUAGAUUGUUGGAAAACUUGCAUUUAUAUGACUAAAAAACUAUUACUGAUUAAUACAUACAGCUUGGAUUUGUGAGCUUCAGAGUUCUGAAACAGAUAUCAUAGAGGGCUUCAUUGUCAAGGACCAUGACCUCAUCAGCAUUUUCAACUAACUGGUGAACAGAGAGAGUGGCAUUGUAGGGUUCAACCACAGUGUCUGAGACUUUUGGUGAGGGGAAGACUGAGAAAGUCAUCAUCAUUCUAUCUGGAUACUCUUCCCUGAUCUUUGAUAUCAGUAGGGUUCCCAUUCCUGACCCUGUCCCACCUCCCAGUGAAUGGCAAAUCUGGAACCCUACAACACAUUAUUAAACACUUAAUUAAUUUUUAUUGAUCAUGAUGAACAUAACCAAGAUCUUGUGCCUUGCUUGUGAUUGGCUUUUUAACCAAAAUAGUCAUUGAGAUUUGCAUAACACAUCACUUUGGUCCUUGAGAUUUGAAAUCAAUAGAAGUGGUCUCUAAAAUUGUCUACCAUCAAUCAUUUUGAUCAUUUCGUGCAAAACUAUGUUAAGUAAGGAUCAAAAUUACAAAUAUACCCUCAAUUUAAUAAACAAUGACCAAAAUGAUUUGUCUAAACUAAUUUUGAUCUAUCUUUAGAAUCUAGCAAAACCACAUUUUCUAGUAAAUCUUUUAUUUUGGAUCCAACUUUUCUAGAAAUAUAUGAUCACAUCAAUUAGGACUUUAGAAGAAAAAAAGAAGAAUUAGAAAGAAGAAAAUGGCCAACAAUCUCAAAUUACAAAUUAAAUACCUUGUAAACAAUCACAAUUCUCGGCCUCUUUUCUAACCACAUCAAGAACAGCAUCGAUCAACUCAGCUCCUUCUGUGUAAUGCCCUUUAGCCCAAUUGUUUCCAGCUCCAUUCUGACCAAACACAAAGUUGUCCGGCCUGAAAAUCUGCCCAUAAGGACCUGUUCUUAAACUGUCCAUCGUCCCCGGCUCGAGGUCCAUCAGCACUGCCCUAGGCACAUAUCUCCCUCCAUUUGCUUCAUUAUAGUAAACAUUCACCCUCUCAAGCUGAAGGUGAGAGUUCCCGUUGUAUUUUCCCGUGGGAUCGAUCCCAUGCUCGUCACACAUCACCUCCCAAAAUUUGCCUCCAAUUUGGUUCCCACAUUGUCCAGCUUGAACAUGCAAGAUUUCUCUCAUUUUCUAAAAUGUACUAAAAUAAAUAAAUAAAUAAGGGUUUAUGGGGCUAAAGAGAAAACAAGGGAAGAGAAGAACAAUGGAAAAUUAUGAAAUGGUAAUGACCCUUUUUGUAGUUGUUCAAGUCUCUAAUUUUUUUCUUCUGUUGAAAUAAUUGACAAUAUGUUUAGAUAAUAAUAAUUUCAUUUAAUAAUUUCAUGUGGUUUGUUCAGAGAGGCAUGUCAAAGCUCCAACCAGGGGGUCGUGAGC
Molecule: long non-coding RNA, 58543 nt
Filed under: Malus domestica (apple)
Lineage: Eukaryota; Viridiplantae; Streptophyta; Magnoliopsida; Rosales; Rosaceae
Description: long non-coding RNA (MDOM_LNC013956)
Source: RNAcentral